Molecule: long non-coding RNA, 56701 nt
Filed under: Physcomitrium patens
Lineage: Eukaryota; Viridiplantae; Streptophyta; Bryopsida; Funariales; Funariaceae
Description: long non-coding RNA (PPAT_LNC000747)
Source: RNAcentral
AUCUGCAUUCGCUAUUGAACUGCGACACUGAGUCGACGUUAUCACUCAGUUUUCGGAUCCUCCGUCGCCGCAGAUGCAGGUGUAGGCUCACCAUUUGCAUGAGAUGGUUCGAUCCGGGACUCGACAGCACUAGAAUCAGCAGAAGAGGUGGGUUCAUCUGCUGCAUCGUCGUCGAUGGCUAUGGCUUCAGUCAGCUGGAGCUCAUCGAGGUCGAUCUUCAUGACUGGUUUCUCCUCACUUAAGGGGGCUUUGCCCAGCACCUCCAGAAGACCCUCCAAUGCAGCCGUGGGAUUGCGCUUCUUCUUCAGCAGGAGCUCGCUCACGUCUGCUGGUGAGAUGGCCUUGCCUGCGAUCGCGUUCUCUAUCUCCGGAAAAAGAUCGUGCCACUCCAGCCCCAGGUUGUUGGCCGCCAGGGUGCGGAAUGCCGGGUACUCGCACCACGACAUGAGAAUGUGUCUGUCCAUCCUGCCCGCACGCAGCAACGCCUUGUCUAGCUUCUCAACGUGAUUCGUCGUGAAGAUGAUGAUGCGCUCGCUCCCGCAGCAUGACCAGAGCCCGUCCGUGAAGUUUAGCAGUCCUGACAACGUCACUCGGCUUCCCUGAAAAUCAAAUUGCACGUCUCAACAUUUGGUCCUCGUGGCAUGGCAUAGUUGACCGUCUGCAAAUGGAACUGUUGCGGAGUUGUGUUGCGAGCCAUCGUAGCACAACAGGAUGCGUAAGUCGAGGUCGAUUGCGACACUUAUGUUAGUGCCUGAUUCAAGCAUUUGCGACUAGUACUGAUACAACAAGCUGAAUAGGGCAAUAGGUCAAUAACUGAAGUUGGGGUACCUCAUCUUGAUCAGAUCUGCCUCGGCCUAAUCCUGUCUCGGGAUUCUUUUUAUCACUCUCCUUGCGGGCCUUAGCUCGCUCUGCAAGAUCUGCCGAACAAUCUAUGUCCUCGAUGACCACAACCGAGCGGUUGGUUGUUUGAAUCAACAGCUGUCGAAGUUCAGAAUUCGAGGUGACUUCUGUCAAUUCCAUGUCAUAAAUAUCAUACUGCAAAAAAUUAGCUAUGGCUGCUAUCAUGCUGGAUUUUCCGGUUCCGGGUGGCCCGUACAAGAGGUAACCUCUCUUCCAUGGCUUCCCUGCUCGCUGGUAGAAUUCUUUUCCCUGUGUAAACUCCAGAAGGUCAUUCUUGAUGUCCUCCUUCAACUCUGGGUCCAUGGCGAGCGUGUCAAAUGUUGAGGGAUGCUUGAAUGGUACUGCUUCCCACGAUUUCUUCCUGAAACUGUAAGUCACAACUUGCGUUAUAACUCAACAUAAGAUGUAGCAUGUAUGGUUUCAACAAUUGCAAGUGCAGAUCACAUGAAACCCAGUAAAUGAACCUCAACCCUACGGCUACUUUGGCAAUCGUAAUAUUAGCACUUCGCAGCGCAACAUCAUGAAGACAGUGAUGGAAUUCGGCAGGUCCAGAGACUUCCCAGACAUGAAUCAUGAGUACCGAUUGAUGGAAAAACUCACUAGUUACUGCCCUUGAUGUUGGUGUAGAGAAGGCGAUCUCGAGAACGCUCCUUGAUCGACUUGGCGGCGUCCAUUAUAUGCUGUACAUACGGCUCGAGCAAGCGGUCCCUGUCUUUCUUACGAAUCUUGAGGGUGUACUUGCGCUUCUCAUCGUUCGGAACGCCCGAAAAAUUAAAGCGAGUACUCUGGAGAAGGUUGACAGAGUGACUCCACCACACCUUCGUGCCCAUAAAAGUAUCUUCAACAGUUUCGUGAGGUGCGGGUGAGAAGGUAUUCUGAGAAGCGUUUUUCGGGCGGCACAAGUUUACGUGCUGAGCAUCUGAAGCAGUUGAGGAGCUCAAGUAGGACUGUACAAAUUCAUAAAUUUCAUUACCACCUGCGCCCUCGAACUCCGGAAUGUCGAAGAAGGCGUAAGGCGAGAAGUAGGUUAUGGCACGAUGUAACCAAGAGUCAAAUGUAUUUCCAUACUCUUUCGAGAGUAUAUUGCGGAAGAAGCCUAACACUCCCAGCAUCGCUGCCCAGAAGGUCCAAAACUCCAUCGACCCUGCUCCUUGCAUUUUUGUACUUGCACCCAAUCCUGUGAAGAAUCCAAUCUACCCUGCUGUCCUGAAUCUCUAGGCCGCUGCUUGUAAGUUCAAUUUAAAGGACAUUCACCUUGAUUCCAAAUGUCGUCGUAAUCCAAUCAAAAAAGUAGAGACAAUGAAAAAAUAAAUUGCAGAGCAUGGCCAUCAAUUCUGUUCCGAAAGUGGAAGGCUUGGAUAUAAUGUUCAAAUGUAAACAUGUCACCGCGCAAUGAUCCAACCCAAAACCAAUUUCGCCGCGUUUGUGUGCCUGUCUCCAACCAGCUCAAUUAUGAAGGAGGAACAACCGGAAUUAAGUGAUUCCUCUCCAAAAUUUCUCAAAUUCAGCCUCGAAGUUCCCCUACCAAAUUCUUUAUAACCCGCAAUGAUGUGACUAACCCACCAAUGAACUAAGCCUAAUUCUCUCCAAGGCAAACAGAGCCUCGCUACCUCCCCCUUCUGCUAAUUGGCACACAGCUCCGGUCCCAAAUAUGCCGCAACUGAAACGACUGCACUGAGGAUAGCACUGAGGCUCAACUGGUCGUAUAUUGCUAAACAAGAGCGGCAGUAUGUCGGUGCUUCGAGGGCCGUCCCCUCAUCAACGUGCAGCGGCAAUUAUCAAGAAUGUCCCACUACCUUCACUGUCAAGCGAUGUCUUUUAAGCACACGAAAUUCGCCCAGUCACACAAUAUCCCGAACCUCUAUUUCCUGGAAGCCGUCUUGUCAAAAUUGCAGACAAAUGAUGCACACUAUUUACACCUUUGACUAUCUUGUUUUGUGUUGUGGAUGGAAAACUUUGGUGGUUUAUCUAAUGGCUAUUUCCCCUACCAAGGUCCUAAAAUAGUUUUAUCUUUCUACACAUUGUUGCAAUUUUCUUGAUCAAUUCUCUCUAUAUUUAUAUAUAUAAAGAUUUUUUAUUAGUGUAUUUUUAAGUAAAUGAUUUUUACUAAAAUAUUAUUAAUUAGACUUAUAAAUAUCAACAAAACCUUUAAAAGAUUUAAUUCUAACUUUCAAAUCAUGCACAAGAAUCAAUAUAUAAAAAUUCUUGGAUAAAUAUUUUUUGUAAAUAAUUUUUUUCUAUAAAAUUAUUUUAUUUCACUUGAUUAGAUCAAAUUCUUCAUUUAUAACAUUGUAUUAGGAUUUUGAUUCUACUAAUUAUUUAUUCGUAUUUUUUACUAUUUUUUAUAUAAUAAUUUUAGAUGUUUGGUUAUUUAUUUAUAUAAUACAAGAUUAUUUCUUGUUGCUCAUUUAUUUCUUGUAUUUUUAAAAUAUAAUAUCUUAUUGUAUUUAAUUUGAUAAGAUGAAUCUUUAAAAAAUCUAUACUUCAUUAAUAUAUAUUAAUUAAUCCAAUUAAUCAAAGGUCAUUAGAAAAUAAAACUAAUCUAAUAGAAAGAUCUAAACUAAUACAACUCAAAUAUUAAAUAUAGAUUUGAAAUACUUGACACACAUAAGAACCAAUUUAAUAAGAAUUAAAAAUAGCAAGUAUAUUAGAGAUAAUUAACUUAAGUAAGAACCAAUUAUUUUUUCGAGGACAUAAAUUAAAAACAACCAAAGGAUUAACAUACUCUUGUGUUACUAUAAAAGAAUACAUAUUUAUUCAAAGAUGGUAUAUUUUUAAGAUUAGAAUGACUAUUAUCAAAGAUAAGAAGACUAAAGACUCUUGAAACAAGACUAAGAAGACUAAAGACUCUUAAAACAAGACUAAGAAUAAGAAAGACAUUAAAAAGAGUAGGAAUGGCUUUACUCUUACCUCUUAUAUACUAUCUAAUUUGAAUCUAUGUGAAGAAAAUCCAUAGGACCUGUAAUAUAUAUCCAACUUAUAAGACACAUGUAUAACUUGUAAGACAAGUUUCUUAUAUGUCUGCUACAUGGCCAAUUUAUAUGAAAAAUCACCAAGAUGUGCAAUAUGUGACCAACUUAUUAUUCAAAUUUUUAAUCCAUCAAUCAAAUACAAACGUGUAUAAAGUCAAAUCCACUUCUAUACAACUUCUAAGAAGCUUUUCAAGAAGAUAUUAUCAAAUCUACUUAUAUUUAUUUUCUACUCAAUACUUUUUAUUUAAGUAAUUACAUAUGUCUAUAAUAUUAUUUUCUAUUAUAGAAUUAAGUUCUAUAAGAAAAGAUAAUUAUAUGUUAAAAAAGUCCAAAAUGCAACAAAUUAUAUUUGCCACCUAUUCUAAUCUUUGUUUUUUUUGAAGAUAGUUAACAAAAUCUCUUAACUAUUGAUAGUAUUGUAUACUAAGACAUAAAGACCACCCUAAUAUAUGAUUGCUAUUGUUGCUUGUCAUGGAUACAUUUAUAUUUAUUCUAAUAUUUAUCUAUAUGAUUAAAUAGAAAUAAAUAAAAAUAGAUUUAUUUCAUAAUAUUUUUUAAAAAGCUUCCUAGAAGCUUUUUAGAUGCUGCUUUGAUUUUAUAUAUAUUUGUAGUUGAUUAGUAGAUUAAAAAAUUUGUCAACAAAUUAACCACAUAUUGAUAACUUGUAAAAUAAAUUAAUUAUAUAGGGCAUAUAUAGAAAACUUACCUUGCAAGUUAAAAUACAUGUCUUGUAAAGUCAACACAUUUUCAAAGUCCUAUAGGACAUCACCACAUAGCUUCUAGUUAAGAAUAUAUGUAGAGGCAAGAGUAAAGCCUUCUUCACUCUUGUCAACGCCUUUCUAGUCCUUAGUUAUGUUUCAAGACUUUUUAGUCUUCUUGUCUUUAGCAAUAGCCAUUCUAGUUUAAUACUAUAUAAUCUUUGAGUGACUUUUUAGUUCUUUUGAAGGACACAAGAGUAUAUUGAAGAUUUCUUUUUUCAAGCUUCAUGUCCUUGAUAGUUUGACAAGAGUGUUAACUCAUUGUUUUUGACUUAUUAUAAAAUUGAGUGGAUUAUCCUACUUCUAACAUUGUAUUUUGAAGGUUGUAGAUUAUCCACUUUUAAACAAAUUAUUUAGUUUUCUAACACCAAUAUUUUUCUUAAAGAAAGUAGAUUAUUUUUUUUUGUAGAAAUUUUCAUUUAAUAUUAGAGUAGUAGAAACCAAGUUCUUAUCUUUACAACAAAGAUUACAAUCAACCAUCAUAUAUGUUGUUGAAUUCAAAAACCUCACUUGUGAUAUGGAUUGGAAUGACAAAGCCUUCAUCAAUCAAUUUUGAUAUGGAUUGAAGAAUAACAUCAAAGAUUUGUUAUUGACAAUGCAAAAAGCAAAAUCUUUAAAAAAAAUUAUUACUUAAGUGAUUGCAUGUGACAAUUGACUAUUUGAAAGGUAUUAAGAACAAAGACUUGGUUGAAGGAAAACAAGCCAAGUAACAAUGCAGCCUCCAAGUUUUAAAAAACUUAUUUAUUAAGGUCAAAACUAAUGCACAUUGAUACAAUAUAUUUUAAAUCCUUCAUUGAGAAAAAAAAGACUUGACAUCAUCAAGAAAGUUUGUUCUUGUAUUAUGGAGAAGCUAAGCAUAUUAUUCAACAUUCUUCAAAGAAUCAAAGCAAUUAUAAAAUAAAAAGCAUGAUUACUAAAAAAGACAAUGUAUCAAAAAAUAAAUUUCUCCAACUAUAAUAAAAAUCAUGCAGUUGGAAUCAUGUGCAAUACCUAAUAAAGGUUAUAUUCGUUCAUCAAUUUCCUCACCUUGUUUUACAAUGGAUAUGUAUUUAAGACCUAAAAAUCACAAAAUCUUUGCAUUAUUAGAUUUAAGAGCUUCAACUUCUUUUAUAGAUGAAGACUUUGUCAAGAAAUAAGUAAUAUCUUUAAUCAAGAAAAUUAAACUCCUACAUAUAGAAGACAUAGAUGGUUGUUUGUUAACUUUUAGAGACGUUAUUCAUGAGACUAUUCUUUUAGAUAUAAUAAUUAAAGAUCAUAAUAGUAUAAUAAUAUUUAAUUUAAUAAGAUCUCCUUUCAAUCUAAUUAUUUUAAGAUUAUUGUAGUUAAAAAAAUAUAACCCUCAAAUAGAUUGGAUUUCUAGUAACCUUGAUUUUUUUUAUAAUUUAAUCUAAAAUUUUAAUAGUGAAGUAAAAAUAUAUAAGCUUAGUACAUCCAUACUCUUACUAGUAAGUGCAAGACCUUUCAUGCAUGCAGAAGAAAAAAUGCCAUCUUUUGCUAUAUAUGCCACAUCCAUUUUUUAUGGUAGAAAGAUGUUAAGAAAUAUUUUUAGCCAAUAUCAAGAUUCUUAAGAUAUUUUUGAAAAACAAAUAUAGAUAUUUUCUAAAGCUUCAAUCUUAUAAUUGUUCAAUUGAUCUACAAGAAGGUGUUCAAUCACCAAUCUAAACCAAUCUACAACUUAUUACAAAAUGAGUUGGCCACACUAAAGGAAUACAUUAACAAGAAUUUGGCUAAGAACUUCAUAUGUCAAUUAAAAUCUUCAAUAAGAGCUCCUAUCAUAUUUAUAAAAAAAAAGAUAGAUCUUUUUAGAUAUACAUAGACUAUUGAGGAUUUUAAAAGAUCACCAUGAAGAAUAGGUAUUCCCAAUUUUUGAUUUCAAGACUUCUUGACCAAUUCAAUCAAGUAAAGAUCUAUACAAAAAUAAAUCUACAAGGAUUAUACAACCUAGUCCAUAUUAAAGAAGGAGAUAAGUAAAAGACUACUUUUCAAAAUAGGUAUGGAUAUUUUGAAUAUAUUGUAAUGCCUUUAGGACUUACAAAUGCAUUGGCUACUUUUCAACAUCUCAUAAAUGAUUUUUUUUGUGAGUUUUUUGAUGAUUUUGUUGUAUGUUAUUUAAACAACAUUCUAAUUUACUCUUAAAAUAUGGAAGAAUAUAAACUUCUUAUUCGUCAUGUAUUACAAAAAUUUAGAGAUGCAAGAUUAUAUGCAAAGAUAAAAAAAAAUAAUAAUAAUAAAUAUUACUUAGAUUGAUUUUCUAGAUCUCAUGAUACUUUUAAGUUUGAAUUUAAGAAUAAUCUACUAUACUUUGAGGGAUGAUUAUACAUUCUAAAAGGCAAAACAUGAUUACGUGUUCUUUAAGCUCAUUAUGACUUUUCAAGAAUCAGACAUUUUUGAUACAACAAGACUUUGAAGCUAAUAUCUAGAGAUUUUUAGUGGCUUCAAAUGUGGAAGGUAGUCAAAGAUUUUAUAAAAUCAUGUGAUAUUUUUUCAAGAUUCAAAAAUCCUUAUCAUUGACUUUAUAGACUUUUUCAACUAUUAUCUAUUUUGAAACAACCACAAUCUUUUAUUUCUAUGGAUUUUAUCACAAAUCUUUUAAUCUUAGGUUCAUAUGAUUCUCUAUUUUUGGUAGUAGAUUAUUUUAUGAAGAUGGCUUAUUUUGUCCUAUAUAUAAUAUCUAUUAUAAGUAAAGAAAUGGCUAAGUUUUUUUUCAAUAAUAUCUAUUGUUAUUAUGGAUUAUCCAAGGAUAUUAUAUUGGAUGGUAGUUCUCAAUUUACAUCUAAAUUUUAGAGAAUUCUUUUUAAGAUAUAAAAAGUGGAUAUAAAGCUCUCUUUGGCUUUUCAUUCUCAAAUUGAUGGACAAAUAGAAUGGAUGAAUCUAAUUUUGAAGCAAUAUUUGAGGUGUACCAUGAAUUAUUAUCAAGAUGAUUGAACAACUCUUUUGCUAUUGGCAAACUUUGCAUACAAUAAUUUGAUAUAUUCUUUGACUCAAUAAAUUUUUUUUUUGCCAAUUAUAGAUAUCAUUGAUAACUUGAUACUUUUGACUUUUUAAAAGUUAAUAAUCUUGUGGCAAAAGAUUUCGAAAAUUAUUUAUCAAAAUUAUAUGUAAUAAUGAAAGCAUAGUUAAAAGAAGCUGAAGAAUAACAAAAAAUCAAUGUGGAUGCCUAUUACAAGAAACAACCACAAUUUAACGUAGAUGACAAGAUAUGGCUAAUUAGUUAUAAUAUCAAGGCUAUUUAUUUUUAUGACAAGUUGGACUAUUGUAUGCUUGGACCAUUUUCUAUUAAUAAAUAAAUCAAUCAUAUUGCUUAUUGAUUAAAUCUAUUAGUGUGAGCAUAAAGAGAAUAUACCUUAAAAAAAUAUUGGGUUUUUAACUGUCACUAGUUGCUCAACCAAGCCACAAAAUUAAAAAAAUAAAAUAAAAAAAUAUCAAAUUUAUAUAUAAAAUUAUUCAUAUAGAAGAAAUUACAUCAAAAUAUAUAAGCUCUAAGUACCAAAGAUCACCAAAAAUGUGAAAAAAAAUAUUAUAAAACCUUAUAUAUCCUUACGAUGAAUUUUUUCUAAAUUUCAAUAGCUUAUAUCUCAUGAUUGGACUAUUCAAACAAGCCAAAAUUUUACAUAAAGUACUGAUGUACUUUUAACAACUACCAUAACAAAUUUCAACUACAAAUUCAUUGUGGAUCUUGAAAUAUUGUCAAAAUCCUAACAAUAGCUUCAAACCCUUGCUUACAUAUACCUAUGUGUAAAUUUCUUCAUAUCUUAUAAAUUUAAUAUUAAAAUACCAUAAAAUUUUAUUAUAUAGCUUUUUGAUCUAAUAAUACAGACUUUUGAAAAAUUUGAGCUAAAAAUUCAUUUAGAAACUCAAGAUAUGGCUCCAACCAUUAGUAUCAACAUAACGACACACUUAUUGCCUUUGAAUUACAUGUAUUGUCUUCAAUAUUUUAUAAUUUCUUUAUAUAAUUUCUAAAUAUAGAAAUUCUUUCACAAAAGAUAUAGAUCUUAAAAUUAUUCUCACGAUUGCAUUUUUUAAUUUUCAAAAUCUAUCAUAAAAUUCUUUAUAUCCUCAAAAGAACAAUAGUAUAUCUUAAAAAGACACCUUAAUUUCAAAUAGCUAUAAUUUCAUCACCUAAAUUCCAAAUCCUUUAAGAUUUGAAUAAAAAAACUUAGUCCAAAUCCUAAACUAUAUAAUCUUUGCUCUUGAUUCUUAAAUGCUUCUUUUAAAGUCACUAAAAUCCUUGUUAUAGUCAUAGAUAGCUUGUUGAAUGCCUAUUAGGCAUAGCCUUUGACUAAUAGAGAUAAAGAUCUUCAAUUUUUACCUUCAUCCAUCCAUAUCUUACUUUUAAUCCUCCAAAUAAGUUUCUUAGAAGUUUGGAUCUUCAUCUUUGAGCUCCAAUCUUCUCUUUAAAUUUUAUACUAAAUAUCUAAAUCCUAUAUAAUUUAAAUACUAUAAUCAACAUAAAUAAACUUUAAAAUAAAUUUUCUUUCAUCAACUUUAUUUAAAUUAAUUUAUUAACCACUCUAAUGUAUAUCAAUACUUGUAAAUAUAUUAUAUAUUUUAGUUAAUUUUUACAUACAAUAAAAAAUUACAAUUUGAUAUCGAAGUAUAUAAAGAUCUAUCUCAUAUUCAAUGUAUCUUUUUUUGAGCCAUAUAAAACAAUGAAUAUUUUAAGAAGAAGAUAAAUACCACCUCUUUUUAUAAAAGUGGAUAAUAAUUAAGAGUUCAAAGUAGAAGAAGUCUUAGAGUCAAGACAAUAUUGAAAUAGGUUAGAAUAUCUUAUUCAUUAGCAUUGAUAAGAUAUUACUAAAUGUACAUGGAAGCCACAAAGAAUCUUACAAAUACAACAAAGAAACUUAAGAUUUUUCAUUGACAAUAUCUAUCAAAAUGAAGAUGAAGAAUAACAAAUCUUUAUUAUAAAAGAAACAAAAUUUAGAAAAGAUAACAUUCUACUUGCUAUUCUUAUUUGGUACUUUUUUACAUAUGUGAUACUAAAGACAUGAAUAGCUUACAAUCAAUAGAUUCAACUUAAGAACUAUCACUUGUUAACUUACUAGAGAAAAUAUUACAAUUAUCACAACCUUCAAGAAGAUGUAAACAAGAGGAAGAUCUUCAAGAAUGACACAUCUUUCUUCAAAUAGAUGGUAAGAUAUAUUCUAUUUGAUAUCACAAUUUUGGAAGAGAUUCUUGAUGUUUAGGGAUUUUAAUAGAUGUUGAAAUAAUUUUUGAUGGUAUUCCAAAUAUUUUAUUUGAAAGAAGUUAUAAAGGCCUUAACAAUGAUCAAAUAACAAGGUGGUCUUCUUGUCUUAAUAUGGGACACUAUUGACGGCUAAGAGGACCUAUCAACCAUCUUCAAAGAGAACAAAGAUUAAAAUAUGUGGCAAGUAUAAUUUGCUACAUCUUGAAUUUCUUCAACAUAUGAUGACUGUUUUUCAUAGAACUUGUCUUUAGAAAGGAGAGUAAUAUCACAAAUAUACAUAUUUAAUUCUAAUAUUUAUCUAUAUGAUUAAAUAGAAAUAGAUAAAAAUAGAUUUAUUUUAUAUUAUUUUUUAGGAAAGAUUCCUAAAAGCUUCAUAGAUAUUGCUUUGAUUUUAUAUGUAUUUAUAGUUGAUUAGUAGGUUAGAAAUUUGAUCAAAAAAUUAAUCAUGUAUUAGUAGUUUACAGAACAAGUUAAUUAGUGGCACACAUAUAUUAUAGACAUACAAUUGAAGAAUAUUGAAGAAGGUUCUAAGAGAUUUUAGAAGGUUCUAAGAAGGUUCUUAUAGAUCCUAAAGAUUCUAGAAGGUUUUAAUAGGUUCUAAGAAGAUUUCAAAAGAUUCCAAUAGAUUUUAAGAAAGUUCUAGAAGAUCAUAGGAGAUGCUAGAAGAUUCUAGGAGGCUUUAGAUGAUUUAGGAAGUUUCCAAAGAAGGAUCUUAAGCUUGCUUUAUUUCCAAGCAUCAUGGAAACUUCUCAAGAGGCUUUUUAGGACCUAGUAUAUAUAAGAGUUAAGGCUAAAGAGAUCCUCAGUCUCAACAAUUGACUUCUUGUAGUUUAGUCAAGAUCUUUUUGCCUUGUAUCUAGUAAUUGUUCUAAUAUUGAGCUAUCUCCAUUUCUUGGUCUUGAAUCCUUGUCUUAUAUAUGGUCUCUAACAGUUUGUCAAGACUGUCAUAAAAUAAUAUUAAAAGCUUGGUCUUUCUUGACAGAGAGUGGAUUACCCCUCUUUUUGGAAGUACUAUAGCAUUCUAGAGGUUGCGGAUUAUCCUUCUCUAGACUAAUAUUUUUCUUUUCUUAAUAUUCUUUUGAUUUUUUUCUUUGUACUGUAGAUUAGAUUUUUUUUCCUUUGAAUGCCUAUAUUUCUUUAAUUUUCUAUGGCAAAAAGUGAAAAAGUCAAUAUGAUAGAUUCUAAAGAGAUCAAAUUAGAUUCUAUUAUUAAUACUCUUAAAGCAUUGAUGAUCAAGAUAGAGAUUUUAUUGAAGUAGAAUGAAGAACUAUAUAUGACCAUACAUAAUGGUCAAGGAGCCAGAGUUCUUCAACUACCACAUCAAAUGGCAAUAGAAGUUUCAAAUUCUCAAAUGACUUUUUACUUCAAGAAACACGGGAGGUGCAUCUACUCAAGGCAAUGAUCUAACAAUAAUAAUAGCAAAAGAAUCAAAGAUCACCCUUUCAAAAAAGUUCAAUGACACCCACUUAAAAUUUUGUGGAAUUAUAAACCAAGUACAAGUAAUCACCUUGCUUCAACCUCAACAAUAUUCCACUAAAGCAUCUUAUGUUGGUUUGGUUAGAAUCUUAUUCUAAGAUCAACCUUAUUCUCCUAUAUUGCAUAUUUUUGAAGCAUUUUUUACAGUAUUUAUAAAAGCAUUUGGUAAACAUGAUAAGGUUCAUUUUUCAAUAACUAAAAUUCAAAGCCUUUGACAAAGAAUGCAUUUUGUAUCAAUGUAUGCCUAAGAUUUUUGACAAUUAGUAUGAAAUACAAAUUAGAGAGAAGAUGCAUUGAUGAGCCAAUUUCAUUGGAGAUUAAGAGAUGAUGUCAAGGACUUAUUGCUAUCUAUAUGAAAUCAUCAAUUCUCAAUGAAGUCAUUAGUCAAGCUAUGAAGUUCGAUAACUAUUUAUUUCAAUGACGACAAGAUAAACAUUCUUCAAUUAUGCCACAUGUAUACACCAAUUAUUUUGCAACUUCUUCACUGUCUAAUUCUAAUGAGCAUUUGAAAGUAGAAGAUAUGUAGAUUGAUGCAGUUUGCUUCAAACGUCUUUUUGAGUAAGAGAAAAAAUAUUAAAAGAAACUUGGCCUAUGCUUAUAUUAUAGAAAAUCUGGCCAUAAGUUUAAUAAUUAUUCAAAAAUACUAGCAUGCAUAUUGAAUGAAGAGUGUGGCUAUGUCAUUAAAAGCUUUACAAAAAAACGGGGGCAUCUAGCCACAGUAAGAACUAUGCAAUUGGAUUCUUCACUAUCACAAAUCAAAAAAGGUCCUGUACUCUCUGCCAACCCUUUUCAUUGCUUUAUUAUACCUAUAUAGUUAAGAGUCACAAAACUAGAGUAUCAUAUAUUAUUUAAUUUGGAAGCCUUUGUAUGUUUUAUUAACAAAUAAUUUUUUAAAUCACACAAAAUCUGUACGGUCAAAAAAUCCAAAGUCAUACAUAAAAAAGUAAUAGAUGGUUGACCUUUAUCCUUUAGAGAAGUCAUAUAUGAGACAAUUCUAUUAGAGAUAACUUUCGACAAGCAUAGCAGGCAAGUAGUAUUCAACAUCAUUAGAUCACCAUGAAGUCCAAUCAUUUUAGAAUUCUCAUCGCUUAAAAAAUACAAUCCACAAAUAGAUUGGAUAUCACAAAAGUUAGGAUUUCGUCUAGUAGAUUAUAGAACCUUCAGAUUUAUGAAAAAGCUUCUAAUAUCUGAUAAGCCAAAACUUAAACAAUAUUUAUUUAUUGAAGCAAGAACAUUUGUAAAGGCAAUCAAACAAGGCACUAUGUUUGCUGUCUAUGCAAAUCUAUGAUCAAAACCUUUGAUUGCUAUAACAACAAUUUUAGAGGUAUAUAAGGAUUUUGUAGAUGUAUUUGAAAAGAAAAAUGUUGAUAUCUUGUCAAAGCAUUAUCCUUAUGAUUGUGCAAUUGACCUUCAAGAAGGUGCUCAACCACCAUUUGGAUCUAUCUACAAUUUAUUCUAAAAUGAGCUUUCAACUUUAAAGGAGUACAUUGAUAAAAAUCUAGCUAAGAAUUUUAUUUGGCAUUCCAAGUCACCAAUUAGUAUUCUAAUAUUAUUUGUGAAGAAGAAAGAUGGAUCUUUACAAAUGUAUAUCAAUUAUUAUAGUCUUAAUAAAAUCACGAUAAAAAAUUGAUAUCCAUUGCCGUUAAUAUCUGGACUUUUUGAUCAACUUAACCAAGCAAAGAUCUUUAUAAAGAUUGAUCUACAAGGCGCGUAUGACUUGGUAUGCAUUAAGGAGGGAGAUGAAUGGAUGAUAGUAUUUUGUACCAAGUAUGGAUAUUUUGAAUACAAUGCCAUACCUUUUGGACUUACAAAUGUAUCAGCCAUAUUCCAAUAUUUAAUGAAUGAUAUAUUUUACAAGCAUCUCGAUAAAUUUGUUGUGAUUUAUUUGGAUGAUAUUCUAAUCUUUUCUAAGAAUCCAGAUGACUACAAAAAAUAUGUCCAUCUUAUAUUGGAAAAACUAUGAAGUGUUGGGCUCUAUGUAAAACUGGAGAAGUAUAUAUUUCAUGUACUUCAAGUCAAAUUUGUUAGAUAUAUUAUUUUCAAAAAAGGCCUUUUUAUGGAUCCAAAGAAAAUAUAAGCAAUCAUCAAUUGAUCAAAGCCAAAAAUUAUACAUGAUGUCCAAUGCUUUCUUGGAUUUGUAAACUUCUACAAGUUUUUUGUUAAAAAUUACUCCAAGAUUGCUACUCCACUUAUGUGAUUGACAUACAAAGAUAAGUUGGAUUAGGGCCCCAAAAUAGAAAAAACUUUUCAAAGCUUAAAAGAUGCUUUCAUAAUAGCUCCAAUUUUGUUACAUCGAGAUUUCAACAAGCCCUACUUUAUGGAGAUCGAUGCCUUAGACUUUGCAUUAGAAGUAGUCUUGUUGCAAUGUAGAAAAGAUAAAAAAACUUCACCCAAUUGCAUUCUAUUCUAGAAAAUUUUCAAUGGUGGAAACCAACUACAAAAUGUACGAUAAAGAGAUGUUUGAUAUUGUAGAUUCUUUCCAAAAAUGGUGCCACUUUCUUGAAGGUGCUUUUCAUUAGGUCACUAUAUAUACAUAUCACAAAUAUCUUAAAUAUUUCAUAUUAGGCCGAGUCUUGAACCAUCGCAAAGCGCAUUGGAGUAUAUCUUUAUCACAAUGUCCUAAUGUAAUACAACUAAAUAAUAAAAUAAUAAUCAAAAUUAAAUUUCUAAUUAAUAUCUAAUUAUCUUGAUUCAAUAAUAAUUUAAGGUAUCUAAAUAUGGCUUUUAUAAAAUCUUUUAAGAUUAUUUUCUUAUCUCAAUAGCUAGUAGAUUGAAAAUUAGUUAAUAUACCUUUUUUAGGCUAUAGACACUCUUUUACUAUCUUAAAAAGACCAUAAAUUGAUAAAAUCAGGUUAGAAAAGAUAAAUAAUUAGUAUGGUUGAUACUAGGGUUAAAUUGAGGAUAAGGUUGGUCUAAAAAAUCCUUAGGAUAGAUUAGAUUGAUACCCGAGGGUCGACCAUUUAUGAGUCAGAGCCGAAAUCAGACCUCCGACGACUAAAAUGACUGCUUAGGGCAAAAUAGGUUUUCACUUAAAGAUUAGAAAUUAGGAUUUGAAAGCUAGGUUAGAGAGCUAGCUUAUUCUAAAGAUAUAAGGUUGGUUUUGGUAAGAUUUUUUUGGACUUGGCAAUUAUUGUUGAAAGUCAAGGUUUGUAUUGGCAACUUGGAAUUUAUGCAAUAAAAUUAGAACUAGUACUCUUAGCUAGUUUGUAAAAUUGGUAUUACAUCUAUAGUUCAAAUUUUGACAUAGCUUAGUUUAUUAGGUGUGCUAAGUGUAUGUGAAAUUUUUUCAUAAUCCAAUGGUAUAAUUGAGAGAUAUUUGGAUUUUGAUACAAGAAGAUAUCGAAAGUUGGCAAUUUUUUCUUGGGUAGGAUUUCUAUGAUAUGUAAAGAUCUACUAGUUUGAUUAAGGUGAAAUUUGGUAUAAUAUUGGAGGACUUAAAGAUUAAGCUACAUAUUAAUUUUGAAUUAAAGUUAAUAGUUAAAUAAGGAGAAAUCAUUACUGGAACAUUUGCAUCAACUUUCAAGUUGACAGCCAAAUAAUAUCAGUGUGGUUUUUGGACAUUUUCUCAAAAUCUAUAAGUUGCAACGGAGUGAAUUCUUAUUAAGCACAUAGAAGACUUAUAGUAGCAUUUGUAUAUAAAAUUUUACUCCAAAUGAAUGGUUAGAUCACGAGCUACUGUUUGCUAAAGCUUUCUAGUUAGAAUUAAGGUUUGCAAAGAAAGUUUGAAAUUGCCUAAUUAUUGAAGUAAUAAGGAAAUUGGAAUUUAUGUAUGGUUGAAACUACUAAGAAGAGUGUUUUUAAGUACUUUAUAUUGAAUUAAAAUUCAAAUUGCAUUCUUUUUAUAAUGAUGAAACAUAUUAGGAUUUUUAGAUAUUUGUAAAAUACAAUCCAACUUUCAUCAAUUAGAUGCAUUCUCAAAUAGGAUGACAUGUAAUAUGACAAAAAUUUUAUUUUUGCAUCAUGUAUCAACCUAAGAACCAACAAAGGUUAUCAAAUGCAUUAUCAAGACGUUCCUACCUUGAACCAAAAAAAAGUGAGGCAAGAUAUGAUCAACAACGAGCAAUCUUGUUAAACCCUCAGUAAUUUCAUCUUUGAGCAACCAAUGUAUCAAUGCCUAUAGAUUUAUCAUUUUUUGAUCAGAUUUAUAAAGCCUCAAUUAUGGACUCUCUUGUUUUUACAUCAAGCAUUUUGUCAACAAGCUUCUUAAAGAGUCUUCUAAAUUCAAGUUUGAAGACGACUUCUUGUUCUUUGAAGAAAAUUUAUUCAUUCCUAAAGGACCAACUCACCUGUGCAUUUUUCAAACACGCCAUAACUUUCUUGCAAUUAGACAUUUCAGAUUCAACAAGACCUUAGAACUUUUGUGUAGAGUUUUUGGUGGCUUAAAAUAUAGAAGGACGUUAAGAAAUUUGUACUAUCAUGUGAUACUUGUUCAAGGUAAAAAAACCUUCGACAUUGGCUAUAUGGACUUUUUCAACCCCUUUCUAUUCUAAAAUAACCAUAAUCAUCUAUUUCCAUGGAUUUCAUCACAAAUCUUCUACCAUUGGAUAAUUAAUCUAGUGUAAUAAAAUCCAUAGAAAUAGAUAGAUUAAUUAACAAAGAUAGUACAUUUUAUACUGUGCAAGAAGUCAAUUACUAGUGAAGAGAUAGCAAGAUUCUUUAUUGAUAAUGUCUAUUAUUACCACACGUUGCUAAAUGACAUUGUAUCAAAUUGUAGGCCAUAAUUUAUAUGAAGAUAUUGGAAAGCACUCUUCAAGAUUCUUAAGAUUGAUAUCAACAUUUCUUCUACCUUCCACCCUCAAAUUAAUGGCCAAAUGAGGCAGAUCAAUCAAAUUCUUGAACAAUAUUUGAGGUACACUAUCAACUAUAAACAAGACAAUAAGACUUUCUACUUAUUAUUUUUACAGUUUGUAUAUAAUAAUACAAUCCAUGUAUUUAUGCAAUAAAUUCCAUUCAAUUCAAACUAUGGUCAUCAUCCAAAGUUGGAUAUGAUAGAGCCUUUAAAGUCAACAAAUCCAGCAACAAAGGAGUUUGCUAUGAACAUAGCGAAACUUCAAACAACUAUGAAGAGUCAUCUAGAAAAGGUCCAACUAUAUUAUAAGUUGGUGGUAGAUGAAUUGAAAAAGGAACAUCCUCCAUUUCAAGUUGGUGAUAAAGUAUGGCUUCUUUGACGUAAUAUAAAAAUCAAUAGGCUAUAUAAUAAGUUGGACUAUCAAAGAUUGAAACCAUUUUUCAUUCAGAUAUAAAUCAAUAACAUAACUUAUUGCUUGGAGUUACCUUCAUUCAUGAAGAUUCAUCUAAUCUUUCAUAUUUUACUUUUAAAAAGGUAUAAAGAAUUGAACAUAUUAAGUCAAAGACAACUACCACCUCUUAUGGUUGAAAUCAAUGAUCAUAUUGAAUUUGGGAUAGAAGAGGUAUUAGAUUCAAGGAUAAGAUAUAGAAGGCUUCAAUAUCUAUUCUAUUGGCAUGGAUAUGAUAUCAAUAAUUAUAUCUGGAAACGAGUUGACAACCUUGUAAAUACACAAAUGAAGGUUCUUAUGUUCCAUCAAUAAUAUCUAUUUAGACCAAAAGUGGCAAAAUGAAGAAUAGUAGGUUGGUAACAUAACUUCACCUUGAAGAUUCUUAGUUCUUUGCCUCAUAAAGAAUGAGAAGAGGCAUCCUCUGAAGAGGUAAUUUUUUCAAAUGUUUACAAUAGUAUAAGUAAGUAGUUCAAGUUCAUGACCAUAGUCUAUUUAUAUUCUUUUGAUCUUAUCUAUUUUAUAUAAUAUAGAUAGUCAAAAGAUAGAUACCUUGCUGGUCAUACCAUCUCGACCAAGUAGCUUAUAGAAACGACCUCGAGAUGAAAAGUCACGUGAAUCUUGAAGACAUUGAAGGAUUACUAGGAAUUCGUCAUUGAUAAUUGUAUUUGAUGUAGAACCUGCUUAUGAAGUAUUUGCAAGCUAAUUCUAUAACAAAGAUACUAAAGUUCAUGCUUGGUUACAAGUAGAAGACUUGGAAUACUAUCAAUGGCUACAAGAGCCUAUAAAUCAUUUACCUCAUAAAAAACAAGUGAAAUAUAUAAUAGACACUAUGCAACAGAUCUUCAACUUCUUGCACAUAUAUUGACUUGCAGCAACAUUGCUUCUCGGAGACCUCGAAACUAGAAGAAGAAGUGAUAUCAUGGACAUAAAAUUGAAGAAGGUUCAAGAAGGUUCUAUGAAAUUCUAAAAUUUUUUAAGAAUGUUCUUAUAGAUCCUAGAAGUAUUUAGAAGGUUUCAAAAGAUUCUAAGAAAGUUCUAGAAGUUCAUAGGAGAUCUUGGAAGGUUCUAGGAGGCUUUAGAUGAUUUAAGAAGUUGCCGAAGAAUGAUCUUAGGCUUCUUUUGUUUCCAAGCCUCAUAGAAACUUUUUAAGAAGCUUCCUAGGAUCUAAUAUAUAUAAUAAUUGAGGCUGAGGGGAACUUUAGUCUUGACAAUUCACUUCUUGUAGUCUAGCUAGGACCUUCUUGCUUUAUAUCUAGUUAUUGUUUUAAUGUAGAAUAAACUCCAUUUUUUGCUCUUGAAUCCUUGUCUUAUAUAUUUUCUCUAACAACACAUAGAAAAUUUACCUUGUAAGUUAAGAUAUCUUGUAUCUUAUAAAGCUAACAUGUUUUAGAGGUCCUGUAGAAUAUCACAAUAUAGUUCCUAAUUAAGAGUAUAUAUAGAAGUAAAAGUGAAGUCUUAUUUAGUCUUAUCAAUACUUUUUUAGUCUCUAGUCUUAUUUUAAGACUUUCUAAUCUUCUUGUCUUUAGAAAUAGAUAUUCUAGUUUAAUAUUAUAUCAUCUUUGAUUAAUUUUUUAGUUCUUUUGAUUGAUAUAAGAGUAUAUUGAGGAUUUCUUUCUUUAAGCUUCAUAUCUUUGAUAAAGCAUCUGUAAUUUUUUUCUAAUAAAAUAUUUAGAAAAUUAUCAAAAAUAGAUCCUACUUUAAAUAAUAUUAUCAAAUAUUAGAAGUUUCUUCUAAGGUUGUGAUAUUAAACAUGUUGUAUUGAAAAAAAAAAUAUGUUAUUUUUUACAAUCUUCAUUUCUAUUAUAUUUUCUUAUAAGUUGUGACAAUCUUGAUGUAUCAUCUUAUAAUUCACCAAAACAUAGCUUCUAAGUUGAAUCUAUUCAUUGUUGAUUUUCUAUCUCUUUAAUGCCAUAAAUAUAAAAAAAUCACAAAUAAAGAUAAAUGAUAGAAUGUAAUCUUUAUUCAAUUUUUUUACUUCUAUAGCAAUAAUUGUUUGACUCUUUAUUUUAAUUUUGAUACAUGUUGUCAAUAAAAAAAUCAACUUUUUUUAUUAUAUUUAUAAGAUUCUUAAUUAGCUCUCAUGUGUAUUUAUUGAUAUUAUAUUUUCACCAAUAUAUAAGAUAUUUCAAUCUAUUUUGGUAUUGCAAUGAAUUUAAGACUUUUUCAACCUCAAAUUCUUGAUUAUUUUCCACUUUUAUAAGAAGUUGUGGCAUUUGUCUACUUUCUACUAUAUUCAAUGUCUUAUAUGCCUUAAAAAGAAAUACAUAGAAUAUGAGAUAGAUUUUCAUAGAUUUUGAUAGCUGAAAUUGAUAAACAAUUAGAUUAAACUAUUUACAAAUAAAAAAUGGUCCAAGUCUAUAUUAAUCCAACUUAUGAUAAGAAUAAUUAGUCUUAAUAUUAUAAAAAAAUAACCAUAUAUUUUUCCCACUUGGUAUUCUUGUUUUUCCUUAUAAUGGAUAUUUAUGUUGAUAUUUUUUUAUUUUUGAGCUUCUUUUAAUUAUAAAUUUAUUAUUGCAUAUAGCUCUAAAAAAUAAUUUAUCAAAUAUUUUAUAGUAGGAUUAUUAAUUUUUAAAAAUUCAAAAAUAUCAAAUUAUAGAUAAUAAUCAUAAUUAAAAAAAUAUGAUAUUUGUUGAAUUUAAGAAUUUAACUUAUUAUUAUAAGAAAAUUCUACUAUUAGUGAAUAAAUUUUUGACUCAUUUUAAUGGCAAUUCAUGGUACAACUUAAAUAUUGUUUCAAAAUUUUAUUUAUCUAUUCAAUUUGUCCAUCAAUUUAUAGAUAGAAAGCAAAAGAUAAUCUUAUAUCUUCUUUUAAUAUCUUAAAAAGUAUUGUUUUAAAACUUGAUACAAAUUAAAUUUUUUUAUUUAGCAAAAUAUUCUUUAACAAUAUAUAAUAAUUACUAUCAUUAUUAAAAAAAUAUUUAAUUAUUUCGUUACUUAUGAUAGAUUUUGUAUAUAAUACAAAAUGUGCCAUUUUAGUGAAACAAUCUACUAUCACAAAUACAGAGUCAUAAAAACUUAAGAUUGAAAGAUAUUUGAUAAAAUCUAUAAAAAUAAAAGACUAUAAUUGUUGAAGUAUAGGUAAUAAAUGAAGAAGUCCAUAAGGUCAACAAUAAAGAAUUUUUAAUCUUAAAUAAAUGUCAUAUGAUUGUACAAAGUCUUUAACUACCUUUUUCAUAUGAAUCUAAUAAAAAUCUUUAGAUCUUAGCUUUAAAGUCUUAUUAUAUCCAAAAUAUCCUACAAUUGAAAAGUUAUAAUGAACUUGAAGAACAUAUAAUUAUGCUUCACCUUUUAGAAUAUAUAAAUAUCUUUCAAAAUAGAAUAGAUUAUUUUUGAACUCAAAUUUUGAGGUAUCAUAAAAUUUAGAUAGAUUAUUUUUAAUUUCAUAAACAAAAUUAUUUGAAGAUAUAUCUAACUUGAUUAAGAAAAGUUGAAUUAAUAAUCAAUAUUGAUUUCAUUGCUUGAAGAUGAAAUUGCUUUGACUUCAAAAGAAUUAUUUGUUAUUGAUUUAAAAUUAUAUUUUUUUCUUUUGGUACAAAAUAAAAAAAGUCUAAAAAGGGCAUUAGACAAACCUUGUUGUUUUUAUAAUCAAAAAGUGAUCUUAAAUUCAAAUUUUGACAAAGAAAUGUUUCAAUAAAUAUAUCAAAAAUUUAAAAUAUAUAUUGGUAUAAAGUAUUUGAAAUUCUUGUGAUCUAUAUAUAUAAUGGCUAAACUUAAAGCGCCUUCUAGAUAAUAAUGUUAUUCUUCAAAUGGAUCCACAAUUGUAAGAUGUUUUUUAUUGUGAAUAUCAUAGUUAAUUUUUGUUGCUAAAAAAAAUUCAAAUAAAAAUCUACUAGGUGAUGUUUGUCUUUUUCUUCUAUUUAAGAUAAUAUAAUAUCUAAAAAAAAGUUUGAUAUAUUUUGUUUCUAUAAAAAAUAACUUAAAAAAGUUAAUAUAAUAUAAAAUUGGUAUAGAAGUAAAAAUUGACUUCAAAGCUUCAAAUGAUGUUUUUUUCUUUUUUAUUCUACUUAAGUUUGUCUUUAAAAAUCAAAUAUAUAAAUGAAGCUACAAUUUAAAAAAAUUCUUGAUAAAAACUUGAUAGUAAUUAAUAAAAUUUAAAAAAUAUUAAACAUCUCUUAUUAUUUUUAAAUUUUUUUAAUCUAUGAUAGUUUGAAAUUUCUUAAGAUCUAUCAUAGGACCAUCAUUUGAAAUGAUAUAUUCUAAAAAUAUAACUUAAGUUAUAUAAAAUAUAUACUUUUUUUAUAUUGGCAUAUAAUCUUAUAUCUUUAAGUUUUUGUAAUAUACAAUAAUUAUAAAAUUAAUGCUCUUCUAUAUUCUUAAAAUAAAUUAAGAUAUUAUCUAAAUAAUAAAUAAUAAAAUCAUCUAAAAAAUAUUUAAAAAUAUUAUUUAUAAGAUAUUUAAAAGUAAAAAAUAUAUUUAUAAAUUCAAAAGACAUGAAAUUACAUUCAAAAUAUUCAUAUUUUGUUUAAAAUGUAGUCUUCUAUUUAUCUCAUUUUUUGAUAUAUAUAGAUUGUAUGCUCUUCAUAUAUUCAUUUUUGUAAAGAUUUUUUUUGUUUUUAAUUAAUUUAAAAAACUUAAAACUAAAUGCUUAAGAUGCUUAUUUUUAAUAGUGAUUCUUUUAAGUCCGUGAUAAUCUAUAUACAUUUUGAUUGUCGUUUUACUUACUCUAAACUAAUCUAAUCAAAAUAAACUUGUAUAGGAAGAUUCAAAUAUGGGAAAAGACUAUCCGCAUGAGUUUUCAUAUUAGGAUCAUAUAAUUAAUUAUCUCCUGAUCAACUAAAACAUCCAAGAAAGCUACAAUGCCUUCUACAUUCUAUCAAAUAAAAUAUUACAAUCAAUAAUUAUAUCUUAUGCAUUUACUAUCUCUUCUUCUUUCUAUACUCAUGAUAACAAUGGAUAAUAUUAUACUAUUAUAAAAGACUACAUAAAACAUUCCAUAAUCUAAUCACUAGAAUUUUCCAAAAUUAAUUUUCAUUUCCAAUAAUCUAUUUUACACAAUUUCAGACUCCACAAACUUCUUCUUGGCAUACUUUCAACUCUCAGAAAUCAAUGUAUUAUAAUUCUCCCAAUCAUAUCCAUGCUUCACAAACAUCUUUUAAUAUCGGCUUUCUAAUCCUUCACUUAUAAUUCAGCAUACAAUAAAUUUAAUUUCUUAUUUGACAUCAUAUAAAUCAAAUUUUUUUUUUAUUUCAAAAUUUCACUUCACAUUAUUCAAAUUCUAUGAAUUAUUCUUCUUUUAUAAAGAAAACAAAGAAACAAAGAAUUAGAACCAAGCUUACCUCGGCUCAUGACUAUCAUAGUCUCGCCCUGUCUACUUUUUUUUCAAACUACUUACGUUUUCUUCAAAAUGCCAACCACUACACAAGCAUAACUACUUUUUUUGACUAUAUCAUCCAUCUUGCCUUCUAAAAUAUCCAUUCAUUAAUUUAUUAGCUUCUCUUAAUCUUACAUAUUAUAUAAUGUAAAAUAAAAAAAAUCUUAUUCAUUCUACAUAGCCCCACUCUUAACUAUACAACAUCUUUGCAAACAUAGAAUUGAUAAAAAUAAACUUUUUCAAUAAAAUCUUUACAAAGUUUUUAACCCUCUAGCUCACUAGAUUGAUCAAUUUUAACCUUCUUCAUAGCUGGUUCUACUGAUUUCGGUUCUAAUGAUAAGUCCUCAUCUUCCUCGGAUACUUCCAUCAGCUCCCUCUUCAAUUAGGCUGAUAAGUCUUCAUUAUAUGCUCUCAAUUCAUAAACUUGAGCUUCCAACUGUAGAAUCCUUACAUCUUUCACUUUCAAAUAGUGUUGCUGUUGCCUCACCUUCUCUUUUAAUUCAUCAAUUAUUGAAACAGGUGGAAUAGACAUCUAUAAUUGAUCAAUAUUAGCUAAAUCAUUCUCUAGUUUUAUCACUAUAGCUUUCAAGGUUUCAAUUUUUAUUCGUAACUUUUUCGUUUCAAUUCUAUACAGUCAUCCAAUGUCUAUUUUUUUUGUUGCAAUAAUGCUACCAUUUCUUGUUCUAUUUCUAAUUGAUUCUUUAUCUUUUUUUCAUUACAACAUUGAUGUACUAUAAAUUUGAAUUAGGUCUUAUCUUUAGCCUUUCAUGAUACGUUGAAUGCAUUUUUUUUUUCCAAGCUUCUUAUUUUUUUCUAAAUUUAUACUCUAAUAGAAACUUGGAUUCCAUAUUUAUCUAAAUAAUUCAAUCUUGUUCUUUAAUUCGAUGGCUUUUUUCGAAUAUCACUUUCCUACUCCCCUCCAAUUGCUACCUUGAAUUUUCUUCCCCAUCUAAUUUACUCACCGUGAGCUAUAAUUGAGAAAUCUAAGUCAAUAUGACAUCCUUGAGAUUCAUUCUUCUUGGUAUUUUAUCCUGUGGAAAUACUAACUAGUUUAUAUCCAUCAAAAUUGAAACUUCAACCUUCACCUCUAUAGCCUAACAAAUUGGAACCUACUCUAGUAUAGUUUUUGGUAUAGCCUUCCAUCCCAAUGAGUAACUUGAUUCUUCAAUUUUAUGCACCAUGAUCCCUGGACUAGCUGUUAGUGCCAUUAAACUCCAAACACUUUAUUGAGGCAUUAGAGAGGAUUUUCUCUCUAUCUAUAGCUCUCUUCACUCUUUCCAUUGAUAUUACGGAAUACUUGCACCUCACUCCUUGUUCACACUAACACUAUUUUUUUGCUUACUGAAGUAAAUCCUACAGUCCAAUAGUUACACUCUAAACAAUAAUAUUCAAAAUGCUGAAGAAAACUUCUACUAAGUGCCUUACUUCUAACUUUUUACUUGGGGUAUGGAUCAAGAAGCCUUAAUCUUAUUAAUCAUUAUUUCACUUCUGAUUUUUCUGACUAAUCAAUAUUAGGACCCACAACCAACCACCAUCUGUCUUUAAUAUCCAUCAUAUAUCUAUAAAUAUAAGUAAUCUAUCAUUAUCAAAUAAACCAUCUUCCUUAUAAUUUUUGAAACCCAUCUCGGAUUUACAUAUAAUAAAGUUGCAAUCAAUUUUUGUUGAUAUGUAUAAUAAAUUGAAUAUCCAUAAAAUCUUCUAAUUGAAUUGAAUCAUUAGAAAAAUCUUCCACUAUAUGAUAUAGUCCAUAUCAAUAGACUUGAAAUUUUUUUAAUUUUUUUUUAAAUCGUCCAUCAUAAAGAAGCACUAGAUCAUUGGGCAGAAACAAUUUGAGACGUAAUUUAUUAUCAUAAUAAUUCUUAUGUCGACAAUGUAUAGCUUCCAUAGUCAGAAGAGUCUUAGUCCUAACUUCAUCCAAUUAUUCCAAUUCUGCUAACCGAUAUUGGAGGGAGUCCUUGUCACCAAGACAUUUAUCCAACGUAAUUCUCAAACUUUAAACUUCUAAUUCAAUUGGUAAUAUUGUCUCUUGUACGUAUAUCAAUUAAAAUGGUGUAGAAUUGAUAGUAACUUUAUAUAUAGUAUAAUAUGCCUACAAAAUUAUAAAUUAUUUAAUAUCCCAAUCCGUUCUCACAUCAAACAUUAUCUUAGUUAAAAAUUUGCAAACAAUUCAAUUGGUUUUUUCAGUCUGUCCAUUGACUCAAGGAUGAUAUGGGAUUAUUUUUUGAUGUUUGAUCUCAUAUUUAUCUAUCAAGGCUAUAAUUAUAGAAUUAAUAAAAUGUCAGAUAUUAAAUCAAUUUAUUAUAUUUGGAAGUAAUCAUGUCGACGACAAAUAAUUUUGCAUCAGAUAGGACAUCAUUGAUAGGCUCAUUAUCCAAUAUAUUAGAUAAAUGAGACAUGUAAUUCACAUUGGUAUGUUUUUUUUUUUUUUUUUUCUGAUCUGACAUUGAUAUUAAAGUUAAAUUUUUGAAGUAGUAAUACCCAUUGAGCAAUGCGUCCACUCAAUUGAAGUUUAUUAAUCAUAUACUUAAGAGCAUUGUAAUCAAUAUAAAAUACAAAGUCAUAACCAAGCAAAUAAUGCCAAAAUUUUUGAACAGAAUAAAUCAUUAUUAAAGCUUACCGUUCAAUCGUAGUAUAAUUUUAUGCAACUCCAAUCAAUUGUUGUCUAGCAUAAUAUAUUGGAUGAUUCAAAUUCUUUUCUUCUUUCUGACUCAACACAAAUUAAAUAGCAAUAUUAGAUGCAUCAACAUAAAUAUAAAAUAGUUUAGUCCUACAAAGUGCAACCAAUAUUAGUGUAGAUACAAAUUUUUGUUUCAAUUCCUCAAAUGCAAUUGUACAUUCUUCAAUCCAAAUUAGACUAGAUCCAUCCAUUGUGGAUUUCUUUAAGAGAUUAGUUAGAAGCUGACAUAUGACUGCAAAUGAAUGAAUAAAUUGUCAAUAAUAAUUGAUAUGGCUGACAAAACCACAAACACUUGACUCUAUUUUUGGCUAUGAUAAAGCCAAUAUAUGAAUAAAUUUAUUUCGAUCAAUAGCAAUAUCAGCCAUAGAGAUGAUGUAUCCUAAUAAUUUAUUAGACAAUAUUCCAAAUUGAUAUUUCUCUUAAUUCAAAGAGAUCCCAUAAUGGCCAUGUUGUUCUCGUUGUGUUCAAGCUUCAACAUACCAAAGCAAUUGAACUAAUAGAUGUGGGUUUGAACACGGGAAAAGACUAGUUAUAUGAAUUGGGUAUGUUAGUGUCACAAUUGAUUGUACUCGAGCUAUCUAAAAUCAAUUAUCAAACUACAAAACAUCAAGGCUUACUACUUCUAUCUUAAGUCAAUCCAUAAUCUAUUCUAUGACUAUCAAUUUAACAAUACUUCCAUAUUCUUCUCCGUUCAUCUCCCACUUACUCUCUUUGUGGUUCAUAUAUAUUUAAUUACUGAUCUCCAGCUUACUUAUUAUAUUCAGUUUCUCAAUUCAUCACAAAAAAUUCAAUAUCUCGGCUUACGACUUUCACAGUCUGGCACUCUAGACUAACUUUUCAGAAUUUAGAAACUAUCCAUUAUUUGUCAACAACAAAGAAACAAAAAGAGGUAACACCAAGCUUGCCCCGGCUUGUGACUAUCAGAGUCUGGCCCCAAUUUCUCUUUCUUCAACCUCUUUAUCCUACUAAAAGAUGGACCGUCGAUUAGCAGAUUCCAAAGAUUAUGAUGCUUUGAAUUCUUAACCAUUUAUUUUACUAACAACCUACUGUUAUCAACUAAAUUACCUAACUAUCAUUCUAAUUCUCAAGGUUAUCAAUAACCAACUAGUAACUUACCACAAAGUUUAUUUGCCUAUUCUACAUAGUUCUACUCCUAUUUGUACAGCAUCUUCGCAAACAUUAUUUAGCCUCAACUUAUAAAGAUGUAACAGCAUUGGCUUCUUCAGUCAAUGGCAUUGGUUUACCACCCUUUGAAUUAGUGACCUACUCCUCUUUACAUCUUUGUCAUCUGCCUCAGUAUUCGAGGAUUCUCCAUCCAAACGCACUGUCAGAUCUUCAUUCAACAAACCCAAUUCCCAUACUUGAGAUUCACAUUGACCAAUUUGGUUGUCAAGCUCCUCCAACAUCUUCUGCCAUUCUUUUGUCGAUUUCAAAGGUAUCUCCAAACGUGUUGUCAUUGAAACUGGUAUAUUGGUCUGCACUAAAUUAUUGGCCUCCUUUGCUAAUACAGCUAGUUUAAUCUGCAACAUCACAACCUCUACCUGGAGCCAUUCUUGCCAUUUCUUCCAAUCAGUCUCCAACCUUGCUUUCUCAAACAUCAUAUUCACCAUCUUCUCCUUAACCACAAAAGAAAACACGAUGCUUCUUAAGAGCUUCCCUCCUACUUCUUACUAUGGUCCAAUCAAUUUGAUCGACUCUCCCUUAUUUUCCACGAUUCGUCAUGAUGAAAUAUCCUAUCAUCAUUAUUUACCCCCCCCCCCUUGCCCUUUUGGAACAGAAAAUCCGUCCUGGAUUUAUGUAUACUAAAAUUUAAGUCAAUUUCCAUUGAUCCAUGUCAUAAAUUUAACACCCAAAAAAUCUUCAAAUUGUACUAAACUAUUUGGAAAUCCAUCAAUAACUUGAUAUGGCCCAUGCUAUCGAACUUGAAAUUUUUUUAGAAAAUUUUUAAAUCAGCUAUCAUAAAGAAGUACCAAAUCAUUUGGCAUAAAAGCCUUUGGUCUAAGCUUACUAUCAUAAUAAGUUUUCUUUCAUUUUUGUGUAGUUUCCAUGAUCAUUAAUGCAUUGGCUCUAGUUUCAUCUAAUUUUUUUAAUUCUUCUAAAUGGUGCCGUAAUGAAUCAUGAUCUGUCAAUCUAAUAUCUAUAGCAAUUCGUAAACUUUGGACUUCCAAUUCAAUAGGUAAUAUUGCUUCCUUGCCAUAAACUAAUUGGAAAGGGAUAGCAUUGGUAGUAACUUUAUACACAUUAUGGUAUGCCCAUAAAGUUGCAAACAACUUAGUGUCCCAAUCUGUUCCCGCUCUUGAAACUAUUUUUGUUAAGAUUUUACAUAAAAUUCUAUUAGUCUUUUUCAUUUGUCAAUUGGCUCUAGGGUAAUACAGUGUAGUCUUUUGAUGUUUUAUCUCAUAUUUAGCUGUAAGUGCUUCAAUUGCACUAUUUAUAAAAUGAGUUCCUUGAUCACUAACCAAUUCUCAUGGACAACCAAACCUUGUAAUAAUAUUUUCAUACAAAAAGGUUGCUAUUGUACUUGUACUAUCGAUUUUCAUAGCUACUGCUUCAGCUCAUUUUGUUACAUAAUCCAUUGCUACCAAUUCAUACCAUUUUUGUCCAUUCUCGAGGCUGGUGCAAUUGGUCCCACAAAAUCAAUUCUUCAUUUUUCAAAAGGUGCUUGAGCCAAAAUUGGUACCAAUAGCAUUGCUAAAGUUCUAGUAGGUCGACCCAUUCUCUGACAUUGGUCACAAUGACGGAUGAAUUGGUGGGCAUCGGCAAACAUUGUUGGCCACCAAUAACCAGCCUGUAAAGCUUAACGAGCCAUACUGUCCCCUACAAAAUUUCCACCAUAAUUGUCCAAGUGGCAACCUUCCAAUAUAGUAUGCACUUCAGUCUGAUAAAUAUAGUGUCACAAAACUCCAUCCUUACCUUGUUUAUAUAAAGCUUCACCAAUCAUCGUAUAAGGUGUACAUUUUAAUAUUAAGCAUCAUUUAAGCUUUUCAUUGAAAUUAGGUAGGAAGGUUUGAAAUGUCAAGUAUUGAAUUAUUUCACUAUUCUCCAGAGUAAUUACAUCUAUCGCAAACAGUUUUGCAUCGGGUAGUGCAUCGUUAAUGGGUUCAUUAUCCAAUAUAUUAGAUAAUCGAGAUAAAUGGUCCGCAUUGGAAUGUGAUUUUCUUGGUCUUACCUCAAUAGUAAAGUCAAAUUUGUGUAAUAGUAAAAUCCAUCGUGCAAUAUGACCACUCAAUUGAGGCUAAUUAAACAUAUAUUUUAAAGCAUCAUAGUCGACAUGAAAAACAAAUUUAUAACCAAGAAGAUAAUGUCGAAACUUUUGUAUGGAAUAAAUCAUCCCCAAUGCUUCUCUUUCAGUUGUUGUAGAAUUUCUUUCAGUUGCUACCAAUUGACGACUUGCAUAAUAAAUAGGAUGAUCAAAAUCCCAAUCAUCUUUUUGGCUUAGCACAAAACCAAUUGCAUCAUUAGAUGCAUCCACAUAAACUCUGAAUGGUUUUGUCCAACAAGGUGCCAUAAAUAUUGGUGCUGAAACUAAUUUCUAUUUCAAUGUUUUGAAUGCAAUUGUACAUUCUUUUGUCCAAAAUGGACUGGUUCCAUUGAUUAGUGGUUUCUUCAAGAAAUUUGUCAAGAAAAGGUAUAUAACUACGAAUAGAUAAAUAAAUCACCGAUAAUAAUUGAUAUGGCUGAAAAAUGCUUGAACAUCCAUAAUAGUAUCUGAUUGCUUUAAUUCUACUAUAAUCUUUAUUUUAUCUAGAUCUAUAGCAAUGCCUACCAUCAAAACUAUAUGACCUGACAGUUUAUCAGAAGGCACACCAAUUUGGUUUUUUUUUAAAUUUAAAGAAAUUCCAUAUUUGGCACAUUGAUUCAAAUAUUGACCUAGACAUUCUAAAUGCCUAACUCUCGUAUUAAAUGUACAAAAAUCAUCUGGAAAUAUUUCCAUUGAAAUUUGUAGAUAAUCUUGGAAUGCUUGCAUCAUUAUCCUUUGAAAUCUAACUGGUGCAUUACAAAGUCCAAACGGCAUAACCUUAUAGGCAAAGGUCCCCCAAUCCGUAGUAAAAGUAGUUUUUAACAGAUCUUCUUUUGCAAUCUUAACUUGAUUAUAACCAAAGAAUCCAUCAAGAAAUGAAUAACAUUCUUGUCCAACGACAGCAUCCAAUAUACUAUCCAUGAAUGGUAAAAGAAAAUAAUCCUUCUUGGUAGCCACAUUUAAUUUACAGAAAUCUUAAUAGAUGCAAAUUUUUCCAUUGUUUUUUGGUACCAUAACAAUUGGUGAAACUCAUUCAUUGAAAGGAACUGGAUAGAUUAAUCCAACCUCCAAGAAUUUAUCCAGCUCUUCUUUUACUAUAAGUAAGUAUUUUAAAUUAAGUUGAUGUUGUCUUUGGCGUACUGAUAUAACGUUCUCCUCCAAUAUAAUUUAAUGUUCACAAACUUUAGCUAGAAUUCCUUUCAAAUCCGCAUACGACCAUGCGAAAGCAAUUUUAUGCAUUAAAAAGUAAUCCACCCAAAUUUCUUUCUCCUUGCCUUUUAUACCGUCGUAAAUUUGAAUGACUUGGGGAGCCUCCCUUGUACCUAAAUUAAUUGAUUGACAUCAUGGAAUUUCAAGAGUCUCUAGAAUAAUAUUAUAUCAAUACUUCUUAAAAUAUCCAUAGAUUUAACUCGACUGGAGUCAACCAUUCUCAAAACUACUAUAAUAGGUAAUAAGUGAUGCAAAUCCAACUCCUCCAUUGUAGCACCAUUCAUAAGAUUUAUACUAGAUCCUCCAUUUACUUACACUCCUAAUAAUAACACCCCAUCAAUUGAGACAUCAAUCAUUGGUGCAUCUGGAUCGGGAUUCAAACUUACUUCUUGGAUUUUUUUAUUUCAAGAUUUGUGACGAAUUAAUCAGAAAUUCAAGAUAGUUUGGCAAUCACGUGUUACCCCCAAUAGUUGCUUCAUAGAGAUCGUGGAUUGUAUGGUCCACAAAUCUUUUAGAAUAUCAUAUGGUUCUGUAUUAGUGAUAAUUUUCAAUAUCCGUUUCUUCUUCCUAUUCCUAGACAAUGACGCAGGUAAAUUGAUUUUUUUUAUAUUAGAAAUUGGUAAAGCUACUAGAAUUGAAUUUGACGGAGCUUGUAAAAUUGGUUCUUUCAACGGAUAAGAUUGUUCUCCCAAUUGGAUUGAUAUUGGUUCCUUGGAAUUCACGCCUCUUAGAGGAUCUUUCAAUGAAAAUGACGUUUUCUGAAACUAUAUAGAGAACGGAACAUGUUGACAUGAAACCGAAGCAUCCGUAAUUGGUACCUCAUUGAGGUGCACAAUCGAUUCAGGUCUUAUACUAAAUAAGGGGCCCAUGUCAAGACCUGGAUUGGAUGGCUCUAUAAUUGGGUCUAAUUGGCCCUUCGCUUUAGGAUCACCCAAAUAUUGAAUUGGUCCUUUCUCCUUUUGCUGACUUCUUAUAUGAACAGCUUGGACUACUUCUAUCUAAUGAACUAGUGAUUCCUAAGUCCCGCUAUUUUUUUCCUCUACAAUUUACAAAGUCGAUUGUAUCUUUUGAUCAUGAUUAUUAGGGUUAAAUGGAACAUUGCAUUGAUAAUGAAAAUAAUUCGAUUGCUUACAAUUUUCACAUACUUGAGCAUAUUCGUCUAUAAACCUUAAAUUAGGGCAUUCACUGGCAUAAUGACCAAUUUACCGGCACCGGUAGCAACGUAGUGGUUUUUGACCCAUUUUGUUAGAUAUACUUGGAGUCUCUACUGGAAUAUAUCUAUUAGGCCGAUUUCAGGUAGCUAUAGUAAAUGAUCUUGGCUGACCAGUUGCUACUGUUCGAGAAUUGGACUGUUGAAUUGGUAUAAUUUGGAGAUUAUCUCCUUGAUUAUUUCCAUCGUUCUGUAUCUUUGUUCUAUAAACCGGAUUAUAAUUAGUAUUUUAAAAAAUUCCAAAGUCAUGAUUAGAUCUAUUUGAGCGAUUACUAUUCCAACCAUCCACAUUUCCAGUCUAUACUUGAUUGACAUCUCAUUGAGUUGACUGUAUCGUCUGGUUAUUGAACUGUUGUUGCCUUUGUAAAUGCCAACAAUUUUGGGUAGGGUACUUUCCUCCAUAAAAUAUACAUUGAACACCUGUUUGUCUAAGUGAUGGUCAUUUUGUAUCAAAAUGAUCUUGUCCCUUACAAUUAUCAUACCACAUAUUAGGUCUCAUAUUAGAAGGCUUAUGUCAUUUCUCCUUAUCUUUAGCCAAAUUCACGGCCAAUUCUUCCAUCUUCUUUGUUAGAUUUAAUAACAAGGCUUCAUUUGGAUCUUUAAUAGUUGCAUUUGUGAACAACUCUAGUUGUUGAUAGGUUGGUGAUGUAAAAUAAGGUGUCAUUAUUAUUGGCGCUAUUGCUUGGAGUGGUGUAGCAUUAAUUGGUUGUUUCAAUAUAACAUUCUUCACAUUGGAGGCAGCCAUUUGUGGAUAAUUAUCCAUCAACAUAUUUCUCGAUUGUAUUUGUUGGCUGCUUGAACUUGGAAUCAUCGUGGCCCCCACUAUUAACAAUUGGUCAUAAUGACAUUCUCUCCACACCUUUGUUCGUGCCAAUGAUGCCUCUACUAUAGCUAGAUGAGCCUCUUUUAUAAACAUUUUUAAUUUUAGUGGAUGCAAACCAUUGAUUAAUAUCGACAAUAUAAAUGCAUCUGGCAUUUGAUUAUUUAUCCAUGACCCGGCCAUAAUAGGACUCCACUAAUUCCCCCGCAAACAUCCUGCUAUUCAUAAAAUUUUCUCUAAGCUGAUCUUCAAAUCUAAUUGGUCUAAAAUGGGUUAGGAAGUUAUUCCUCAAGGCCUCUCAAUUGAAAAAUCUACCCACUGGUUGCCAAAUAUACCAUUCAAAAGCUGUAUCUUUUAAAGUUACUGGCAACCAUCUCAAUCAAAUGUCUUCAGUUCUACUAUUAUUAGUCACAUAGGCUAUCAAGAAUUGAGAUAUAUGGUGAUCGAGAUUAGAGCCCGACUAACUACUAAAAGUAGGUAAUAGUGCCACACUUGUAGUUUGGUCUUCUCUUGCUCCCAUUUGUACUACAAUUAAUACUUCUGAUACUCCCGCGGCCAUUGGUAUUAUCACUAGUCUCGUUGUUAUUUCAAUUUGAAUUUUUCUUCCUUUGGUUUUACUUGGACCUACAAAUCAUUUUUAUCGUUUCCGUAGGAAAUUUCUUGUGCGUAAUCGCUCCUGUCAUUUUUUGCUUGUCGAUUAAUUCUUUGAUAAUCCUCCUCUUCAUGAUUAUUAUUCAUAAUCUUUCAUUCUUCUUUACAAAAUCAAUACUAUCUUGAAUUAUAACUCAUAUAUUUGUAAUCCUAAAACUGGUUCUUCUCAUGUUCUUAUUCAACAUAUAAUUCUAUCUCCCAUACAAUCAAUUUCUAACAUUUCAUAUUGUUAUCAUUUUCCCGACAGCGGUACCAAAAUGUUGUUCUUGUUGUGUUCAAGCUUCAAUAUACCAAAGCAAUUGAACUAGUAGAGGUGGGUUCGAACACGGGGAAAGACUGGUUAUAUGAAUUGGGUUUAUUAGUGUCACAAUUGACUGUACUCUGGCUAUCUGAAAUCAAUUAUCAAACUAUAAAACACCAAGGCUUACUACUUCUGUCUUAAUUCAAUCCAUAAUCCAUUCUACAACUAUCAAUUUAACAAUACUUCCAUAUUCUUAUCCGUUCAUCUCCCACUUACUCUCUUUGUGAUUUAUAUAUAUUCAAUUACUAAUCUCUAUUUACCUAUUGUAUUCAAUUUCUCAAUUCAUCAUACAAAAUUCAAUAUCUUGGUUUACAACUCUCAUAGUCUGGCACUCCAAACUAACUUUUCAGUAUUCAUGAACUAUCUAUUACUUGUCAACAACAAAGAAACAUAAAGAGGUAGCAUGAAGCUUGUCUCGACUUACGACUAUCACAGUCUGGCCUCAAUCUCUCUUUCGUCAACCUCUUUAUCCUACCAAAAGAUGGACCGUCGGCCAGCACAUUCCAAAGGUUAUGACUCUUUGAAUUCUUAACCAUUUAUUCCACUAUCACCUACUGUUACCAACUAAACUAUCUAACCAUCAUUCUAAUUUUCAAGGUUAUCAAUAACCAACUAGUAACUUACCAAAAAGUUUAUUUGCCUAUUCUAUAGGCCACAACAAUCCAAACACUUACCAAGUUAUUCUAAAUGAUCAACCUUCAUACUAAAUGUGUAAAAAUCAUCUAAAAAUAUCUCUAUCAAAUGUCAUAAAUGAACUUGAAAAGCUUAUGUCAUUAUUCUCUGAAACGUUGCUUAGACAUUACAUAAUCCAAAUGGCAUAACUUUAUGAGCAAAGAUCCCUCAGUCUGUAGUGAAAGUAGUCUUUAACUGAUCUUCUUCUGUAAUUUUAACUUGAUUGUAAUCCAAAAAUCCAUCUAAAAAAGAAUAUCAUUCAUGCCCAGCUACCACAUCUAAGAUAUUAUCUGUAAAAGGUAAAGAAAAAUAAUCCUUUUUAAUAGCCACAUUUAAUUUAUAAAAAUAUUGAAAAAUUUGGAUUUUUCCAUUUUUCUUUGGUACCAUUACAAUUAUUAAAAUCCAUUCACUAUACAAAAUUGGAUAAAUAAUAUCUACAUUAAGAAGUUUUUUUGAUUCCUCUUUUAUCAUAAAGAAAUAUUUUAGAUUGAGGCGAAGUUGUCUUUCACAAACUGGUAUAGUAUUCUCCUCCAAAAUAAUUUAAUGCUCACAAACUUCAAUAGGAAUGCCUUUCAAAUCUACAUAGGACUGCACAAAAGAAGAUUUAUGAUUUAGGAAAAAAGCCUUCUAGUUUUUCAACUUGAUAUCCAUAAUCUCAUUGUAUACUUUGAUAACCUACAAUGUUUCAUUAGUAUCUAAGUUGAGGAAUUGGCAUAUAAGUUUCUCAGCAACAUCCAAUUUAAUUUUCUUCUCUGGUUCGUAAUCUUUUAUAUAAUCUGAUAAAUUAAAACUAUCGAAUUCUGAUUCCAAUGCACUGACUUCAUUAACUGGGAAAUUAUUCAUCGAAUCGGCAAUAGCAUGAUUAGAGUUUGUUGUAUCCUCCAGAUAUACUAAAUAUUCUCCAGGUCCUCUACAAUUGGUACAAUAUGCCUUGUUUUUGCACAUGAAGUGAGUUAUCACCAACUUGUAUUGCAUAGAUAAUUUCAUCAUAUUCAGCAUCGGAUUGACCCUCAUUGUCAAACGUUACUUUUAAAUCUAGAAUUUGACAUUCUCCAUGAUAUUGAACUAGAUUUAUUUAUAAUACAAUCUUAUCUUUUCUUUUCUCAAUAGUCAAUAUUCCAUGGCCCUAAUCAUUUCUAGCUUUGGUUUGAUAUAGUCAUGGUCGAUCCAAUAAGAUUAGAAAGGAUAAUAUAGAACUCUAUAAUCAAAAAAUAAUAUAAUCAAUUUUGUAUAUGAUUCCAAGAAUUACAGUGUCAAUAGUGCAUAAGAUAUCCAUUGGUUUCAUUUGACUAUGAUCUGCCGUUCUUAAUAUCAAUAUCAUGGGUAAUAAUUGUUUUAACUCCAAGUCCUCUAUUAUAUUGGCAUUCAUUAGAUUCACACUAGAGCCACCAUCCACUUGAACUCUAGAAAUAAGAAUACCAUCAAUAGAUACAUCAAUAGUUGGUAAUCUCGUAUUAGGAUUUAAAUUAAUUUUACAAAUUUCUGUAUUAUGGAACCUACAUCUUAUUAAUGAGGAAUUCAAUGUAGAAUAACAUUCCUAGGCUACAGCCAAAAGUUGCUUCAUUGUAAUAGAAGGCUAAAUUAUAUGUAAAUCUUUUAAAAUAUCAUAUAGUUCUAUAUUAAUAGUGAUUUCCAGCACCUUCUUCUUUUUCAUAGAUUUCAACUUAAUUCCUUGAGAUAAUAUAUACUUUUUUAUAAAAUUUGCAUGUGGAAUAGUUGAAUGAACUUUUUUGAAAUAUCUGUCUAUGAGAAGAUCCUUUAAUGUAUAAGACGGCUCUUGGAACUUCCUAGAUAGUGGUAUUGAUUUAUAUUGAAUCAAUACCUCAGUACUAAGAAUAUCAUUGGAUUGCAUAGAUGGACCAGGUUCCAUUGUUGGUAAUGUUUUCAAUACAGAUAUUGGAUUUGGAGUUUCCAUAAUUGAUAUGAAGUGGUUCUUCACAACUAGUGUAUCCAAUUGUUGAAUUGGAUCUUUUUUUUUUUAUUGACCCUUUGUAAGAACUACAUUAACCACCUCAAUUUGAUGUACUAGGGAUUCUUGUUGAACAUGACUUUUAUCAUCUGACUAUUGGCUUGACUAUAUUUAUUGAUCCUGAUUAUUGAAAUUAAAUGGAGCAUUAUACUACUAAUAACUGUGUCCAAAGUCCUUACAAUUUUCACAUAUUAGAGCAUAUUCGUCACUGGCUCUUGGAUUGGGACAUUCACUAGCAUAAUAUCCUAUCUACUUAUAAUUAUAACAUCAAAGUGGUCUUCUUUCAACUCCAUCAAAAAUAUUGGGUGUUUCUUCUAGUAUAUAUCAGCUAAGUAUCUUCCAAGUUGGAUAGAUAAAUGAUUUCAGUUGUUCAGUUGAUAUUAUAGAAUCUAAAAUUGAUUUUUGAAUAGGUAGAUAUUAAAAAUAUCUUUGUUGAUUUUACUCAAUACAUUGAGAAUUGGAUCCACACUGCUUAUAUAUAGAAUUUUGAAUAUUAGAAAAAUUUCUAUUUUGUUUGUUUGAAUGAUUUCUCCUCAAGCCAAACCUAUUUCUUGUUUGGACUUGAUUAAUAUUCUACAAAGUUGGUUGAAUCAUGGUUUGAUUACUGAGUUGUUGUUGUUUUUGUAAAUUCCAACAAUUGGUGGUGGCAUACUUACAUCUACAAAAUAUACAUUACACAAUCAUUUAGGGUGGUGAAGAACAUUCCGUUACCAUAUGGCCUUGUCCUUUACAAUUACUGCAUCAAAUAUUGGGGUGCAUAUUGAUUAAUUUAUGCUUCUUUUCCUUAUCCUUUGCCAAAUUAACAGCCAAUUCAUCCAUCUUCUUUGUCAAAGUUAACAACAAGGCCUCAUUUGAAUCCUUCAAAAUUAUUUUAUUAGAUAACUCUUUUAUAGAUAUUGGUUUUUAAUAUGGGAGGUAUGGUGAAUAUGGAACUACUUCUAUUAGUAGUACAACUUGUAAUGGGACAAUAUUAAUUAUUUUUUACGGAUUAGCAUUAAGAUUUGGACCGUAAUCAAUCAUUCUUGGAUAACUGCCUACUAUUUCAUUCCAAGCUGGCAUUAGAUAACCUUCCUGAGAUCGAAUCAUUGUAGCUCCUGCAGUUAAGAAUUGGUCAUAAUGACAUUCUUUCCAUACCUUAGCUUGAUCAAGUGAGGAAGCAAUAGUGGCUUGUUAGACAUGCUUUAUAAACAUCUUCAAUGCUCGUGGUUAUAAUCUGUUAACUAAUAUAGAUAAAAUAAAUGAAUUCGGUAUUUGGUUAUUUGACCAUUUAUAAAGGAUAUCUGCUACUUCACAAUAAUAUGACUGCACUACUUCUCUUAAUAAUAUUCUACUAUUCAUUAACCUUUCCUUGAGAGUUCUUCAAAUCCAAUUGAUAGAAAAUGGAUUAAAAAGGUAUUUUUCAAUGCAUUCCAAUUAGAAAAUUGGUCCAGAGGCUGGCAAUUAUACCAUUCAAAUGCUAUGUCUUUUAAGGUCACUGGCAGCCAUCUCAACCAAAUAUCUUAAAUUAUAUUAUUAUUGACUAUACAUGCAGUUAGAAACUAAGAUAAAUAUUGAUCUAGAUCUAUACUUGAAAAACCUUUUAAAGUAAAUAAUGGAGCUACACUAGUUGUGUAAUCGCCCACUGCACCUAUUUGAACUGCAAUUAGAACUACUACAUCUCCCAUCGCCAUUGAAGAUAACAAUGUUCUACUUAAUUACUUAUUAAAAUAAACUCCACUUUCUCUAAUUAUCUUUUCUAGACUUUUUAGUCUCCUCAAUUUACUAUUAUUAUCCACAAAUAAUUUUAUUAAUUGAAUUGGAGGUAAAAAUGAUAGAUUUUAAAAUAUACUAAAUUGGUCCUUAUUAGUAAGCAAUUUAUGCCAUUUUAAAGAAUUAAUCUUACUAAAAUUGGCUGUACCUACUAUUAAAAAAGUACCAAAUGGAGUAUCCAAUCCUUCUAUGCCUCCUUUACUUUUAGUUAAUGCGCUUAAGAGAUAUGCUUGAUUCUUGAUAAAAUUUCUCGCAAGUGCUCUUGGCAAUUUUUUUAACAAUAUAUAUGACUAAAAUAUUAAUGAUCUAUGAGGUUCUUGGUAUACUUGGAUAUGUCGAUAGGCAUGCAACCAUGAUUUAAUCCAACUUGAUUGGCGCUUCUUUUUUAGAUUACAUUUUUGCUCCUAUCACAACAAAUUUUUUGCUUGCAUUCUCUCUUGUCUUUCUUUCAACUGGCAUAUUUUUUUUAGUCCAAUAUUCUCAUUCUUAUUAAUCAUAAUCUUUCAUCAUAUAAUACUGAAAUUACUUUCCAUCUUCAAUCUAACUACAUAUUUGGCUUCACUUUUGAAUCAGCAUGAAUUUUGUAACUUCUUCAUACUACAUCUAUAACUACAUGUUCGACAGUUCAUUCCUAACACUCAAUACUAUUGUCAAUUCUUUGAUGACAGCACCAAAAAUAUGAUUGUCAUUAUACUUACUCUAUACUAAUCUAAUCAAAAUAAAUUUAUAUAAAAGAAUUCAAAUAUAGAAAACGACUAUCUACAUGAGUUUUCAUGUUAGGGUCACACAAUUAACUAUCUUCUAAUCAACCAAAACACCCAAAAAAGCUACAAUGCCUUUCAUAUUCUAUCAAAUAAAAUAUUGCAAUCAAUAAUUCUAUCUUAUGCAUUCACUGUCUCUUCUUCUCUCCAUACUUAUGACAACAAUGGAUAAUACUAUACUAUCAUAAAAGAUUGCAUAAAACAUUCCAUAAUCACUAGGAUUCUCAAAAACUAACUGUCAUUUCCAAUAAUCUACUUCACACAGUUUCAGACUCCACAAACUUCUUCUUGGUACACUCUCAACUCUCAAAAAUCAAUGUUUUAUAAUUCUUCCAAUCAUAUCCAUACUUCAUAAACAUCUUCUAUUAUUGACUUUCCAAUCCUCCUCUUAUAAUUCAGUACACAAUAAAUUUAAUUUCUCAUUUGACAUCAUAUAAAUCAAAUCUUUCUUUCAUUCCAAAAUUUCACUUCACAUUAUUCAAAUUCUAUCUAUUACUCUUCUUCUACAGAGAAAACAAAGAAAUAAAGAGGUAGCACCAAGCUUACCCUGACUCAUGACUAUCAUAGGCUGGCCUCAUCUACUUCUUCUUCAAACUACUUAUGCUUUCCUCAAAAUACCAACGACUACACAACCAAUCAUAAUCACUUUUUUUGACUACAUCAUCCAUCCUGCCUUCUAAACUAUCCAUUCAUUAGUUUACUAGCUUUUCUUAAUCCCACAAACUAUGUAUUAUAAAACAAAAAAAAAUCCUACCCAUUCUACACACAUCCAUAAUAAUUCAUUUUUUUUAAAAAAUAAGAUAAAAAUUCUCAUUAGAAAUUUAAAAUUACACAUAAAUAUUUUAAUUAAGUUCUUAUUUUAUGAUAAUUUGUAGGUUGAUCCAAAUAUUUAUUGAGUUCUUUCUUUCAAAUUAACUCAAAAUAUAUAAGAAAAAUGCUUUAAAAAAAUAUUUAUAUUUAUUUUUUCAAAAACAUCUUGAUAAUCCAAUAUUAGCUCAAAAUAGUACUUGAAUUCAUUCUACCAUUAUAAAUGGAUGUAGCAUAAAUACCAAAAAGGGACGCUUCUUUUGUUCUAUGUAUAAAAGCUUUUGAAUCUACCAAUAAAGAUUUGUAUAUAUAAAACCAAUGAUUUUUUAUAAAAAACUAGAUUAGGGUAUGGAAUAAAUAAAGAUUAUAAUAUAUUCAAUCUAUUUAAAGAUUAUAUUUUUUUAGCUACUAUAAAUAUAAAAUAUUAAAAUUAAAAAUAUAUCUAAUAAUAUUAAAUAUUAUUAAAUUAUUAUGACCAUUAAUUGCUAUAUCUAAAAGAAUAGCUUUAUGAAUAAAAUUUGUAAAAGAUAAUAAACUAUCAUCCAUGAAUUCUCUAUACAUAUGCUUAAUUUUUUUGAUUAAGAAUAUAUAUAUAUUUUUUUAAUAAAAUCUUUAUCUUUAGUACAAACUAAGGUUCUUAAAUCUAAGAAUGUAGAGACUUUUUAAUUUUUUGGUUUUAAAUAAAUAUCUAUUAUAUAAUAAAGUGAAGGAUCUAUAGAAAGAAUAAUACUUUUACUAGGUUUUGUAUAAGAUUUUAAUUGCUUGGUUACUAGUUUAGGUAGAAAAAAUUUAUUUUUUAAUAAAUUAUCAUCUUUGGAAACCAUUUUGUGAUUCUUUUGUUUCUUUGGAUAAUAUUGAUUAGUGUAUUUAGAUUCUUUAUAAUAUAAAGACAAUCUUUUUUGACAAUAUUGAAUCUUUUUUUUCUUGGUGAAGAAUUUAAAAUAUAUCAUAUCAAUUUAUAUUAAUUUUGGCUUUAAUUUAUAAGUUUCCAAAAACUUAGGAAUUGUUACAAUAACCUGAUUUAUAUAUUUUUAGUCAAAUCUUUAUUCUUUGCAUCUUUUAAAAUUUUAAUUUUUGCAUGUAAUGGCUUAAGUAAUAACUUAUUCAAAUAAUUAUGUUUUUGAUAUUGUCAAUAUUAAAUCUUUGGCAUUAUCUUUUAAUCCAUUUAAAAAUUAAUUAAUAAAGGCUUUAUUAUUAUAAUCCAUGUUACAAGUAAGGUUUUAGAUUUGAGCAGCAUAUAUGAUAGCUAAACGUAAUCUUUAUUAUAGAUAGGAGUUACAUCUCUACUAUUCUUUUUUGAUUACCUUCUCCAAAUGUGGCCAUAAAUACUUUCAAAAAUAAAUUUAGAUCAUAUAGAAAUCAUGAAUUAUUUUUUAUUAAAAAUUAAAAUUAAAAAAAAAUACUUCUAUAUAGAAAUAUACAUAUGAAUCCAAAUUGAAUAAAUCUAUCAUGAUAUUAAAAAAGAUGUAAUCUUAGAUAGAGCUUGAUUUGUUGUAAAAAUCCUUGAAAUUUUGAUCUUGUUCUAUUAAACUUCUUUGGCAUACUAAUCUUUGUUUCUCUCAUAUUUGUAGUAGCAUAAAUUCUUGGAUUUAAUUUUAAAAUCAAUGUACUUGCUUCUUUCAAUUUUAUAAAUUUUUAUUGUAGAUAUUAGAUCUCAUUAUUAUUUUUUUCUAUAGAAGUAGAAAUAAUAUCUCUAUGGUUGGCAUUAAUAAUAUGUUAGAUUUUUUAUUUUAUCAAUAUUCAUAAGUCCAUGAAGAUUUGCAAUAGUUUCCAAGGAAAAAAAAAAAAAAAAAAAAAAAAAUUAUAAGUAUAGCAUUUAUAAUUUUUGCUUUUAUUUCUAUGACAAAUGAGUUUAAAAAAUCCAAAAGUUAGAUUAGAAGAAGAUAAUCUACAACCUCUAAUAUCAAAUAAAAAUUUCUAAAAAAAAAGAGCAUUUUAUUUUUUAUACAAAAAGAAUAAAUGUUUAAAAAAAUUAACUUAAAAGUGGGUAGUCUACAACUUUUAAACCUCAACAAAAGAAGUAGAGUAAUUUACUUACUUUAAACAAAAAAUGAACAAUGAAUUAGCAUUCUUGUCAAAUUAUCAAGGAAAUAAAUUUCAAAAAAAUAAAAUCUUGAUUUACUCUUAUGUUACUUAAAAAGAAUUGAUAUUCAUUUAAAGAUAGUAUAAUAUUAAGAUCAGAAUGGCUAUUAAUAAAGACAAGAAAAUUAGAGACUUUUAAAACAAGACUAAGAAGAAAAAAGACAUUGACAAGAAUAAAGAAGAAUUCAUUCUUAUUUCUAUAUAUAUCGUUUAACUAAGAACUAUAUAGCAAUGUUCUAUAGGACCUCUAAUACAUGUCUAACUUGUAAGAUACUCAUCUAACUUAUAUCAAAUUAUCUACAAAAAAUAAAUAUAAAUGUCUUAAUAUAAAAUCAGAUUUAGGAUUUUUGACUUAAGAAGCUUAAUAAGAUAUAGUCUUAUGUGGAGAUGGAGUCAAAGAUCAAUGUAUAACGCAUAUUUUGCAGUGCAAGAGUGACUUUGAUGGAAGCAUAUUGUAUCUUAGGUAUAGCAUCAAUAAAUUUGUAAAUUAGAAAUUUCUUCCAUAGAUGUAGCUUUUGAGAAAGUAAACUACAUAUAUAUUGUGUCUAAAUAUAUAUGAUUUCUUCUUACUUUCUUUAUUAUUGUGAAUAUAAAAUUAUCUUUUAGUAAUACUAUAAAUACAUAUAAAAUCAAAUCCACAUCUAUAUAGCUUUUAAAAAGCCUUUCAAUAAGAUAUUAUUAAGUUUAUUUACUUGAGUUAUGUGUUAUUUUACUUCUUUAAUCUAGAUAAAUGUAUAUGUUCAUGAUAACGUUUUAAAGUUUGUAUUAAAAAAAACUAAGUUAAAAAAGUAUAUAACUACUAACAAAAAGAUGAUUAUAGAGAGAAAAGAAUGAUUAGAGAUAAAAAGAAAGAAAAAAAGAGCUAAAAAAGAAUUAAAUAGUAUCAAAUAUUUAGAUUAAAAGCUAAAAAUAUUAUUAGUAUUUUUAAUAUAUUUUUUACUUAAUUAUGAAUAUUAUCUAUUUUUUAAUUAUCUAAUUUUUUAUUUUAUUUUUUAAAAUCUACAUUCAAUUCUUAUAAUAUUUAUUAAAAUUAAAAUAUAUACAAUUUGAAUUAAAUGAAUAGGUAGGAAAGAAUUUUUCCUAAUGUGAAUUUUGGCUAUAACAUAGCAACUUUUUUACAAGCAAGACUACUUAUAGAUUGAUACUUCUAAAUUAAUAUUUAUAAGAAAAACUUUCAUUUGAUAUUAAUUUAAGGUAACAAAAAAUUUGUCUCCAAACUAAAAUUAAAUUUAUAAGAAAGCUUUUAAUCUAUUAGAUUUAUAUGAAAACUUGAACUUUAGAUAUGCUAAUUAAUAAGGUACAUUAUCCUUUAUAGUAAUGUAUAGUACUAAAGAAAAUAGUUCUACUAAUGCAAAUAGUUCUAUUAACCAAUUUACUAUUGAAUGAACAUAGAAUCUAAGGUUAUCAAUACGUUGUUGUAAUUAAUUAGUACUUUAAUUAUUUUAUUUUUCUUCAAAUUAAUUUCUUUAAAUUUUUUUUCAACCUUUUCUUGAAGAAAUGACAAUACAAAAUCUUAGUUCUAUUGAAUUGUCAUCAUCAUAAAAAUCUUGCAAAAUGUGACUAUUAAAAGUUGUGAAAAAACUAUAAGAAAUUUUGUAUUAAUAAAUUUUUCUUCUACAAAGUACUUGACUUAUAUUCUUAAUAACUUUGAAAUUAAUACAAAGUAUAAAAUCGCCAUAGAUUUUUUAAUAGUCAUUCGCCAAGUGUGGAUAUUGUUGGGUGCAGCUUGCCAAAUUUAUAAUGCAUUUUGUGGUCGCAAUUUGAAAAGCUUCAACCAGCUUCAAGCAUUUUGUAGUCGCAACUUGCGAUCUUUGUCCUUCUCUUGUACCUUGUAUUAGCCUGCGGACAUACUUUGCUUCCUCCAUGCACACACUCCACUUAAUUCAUGGUCGAUAUCCUACCGCUAAGUUAGCCUAAUUUACAAUUUUUUAAAAAGUGUUUUCAAGAAGAAAGAAACAAACAAACAAUAAAACGCAGAUCAACACCGCAUCGCAAACUCUUCUAUAGUAGCAUUCUUGUUCACAAAUCAGAUUCUAACUCCACAACUCUUCCUUGUCCUCAACUAAGCUCAGUUUCCUGUAAAAUCAGACUGCGGCGGCGUUCCUUAAAACAGGAAGUCCUCGCGUCCCAUCGCGGUUCAAUUCUGCUCUGUUUUCUAGAUAGUCGUAAAGACCUGUGUCUGCAACCAGCAGAAGUGCCGCAUAAAUGAGAUCAGUCUUCGGAAUCUGCGGUGUUUUGAUUCUUUCCAACGGAACCCGGUGACUGUUCCAAUUCCAGAUUCUAAAUUAUGGUUGGACCUGUGAGCCAACGAGGUGUGGCGUUACAAACAGGACGUAAGAAUGUGUUGAAAAUUCAAGAAGAUUUCUUUGACAUGAUAUCGAGAAUAUCACUUUGGCAAAAGUCUUUCUAAUCCAGAGUCGUAAGAAUGAUAAUGUGGGGCAUAGACUUCGAAAACAGAUUAAGCAUGUAAUACAUGAAAAGACAUGUCAUUUGAUUAUCUUGUAGUAUUAUAAAAUGCAUUUGUGUAGCAACAAAUUUGAAGUUGACUGCAACUAAAUUUCUUUGCUUUUCAAUUAGAAAUAGUACUAAAUUUUAUUUCUACUAUUGGAUAAAAACUCAAGUAGUAAAAUAUAUUUCUACAUGUUGAUUUUAUAUUUAAAAUAAAUAUAAAAACUCUACCUAUUCCACAUUAUCUUGGAACAAAAAAUACUCCACAUUGCUCAAAAUAUAAUUGUUAAUUUACAUAGUUUAUCAUAAAAUGUCUUCUAUAAUUUUGGUAUUUUGGUAUUGAUUAAUAUAAAUUCUUAUUUUUAAUAUAAAUUUGGUAAGAUAUGGUGACUUUUUAAAAAACGAAUUGUAAAUAAAAUUAAAUAUUUAAAAUAUCCAGAAGUAAGAAUUUAAUAUUAUUAUUUGAUAAAUACUUUUUUGCUAUUCUCAAGUACAAUAUGCUUGCUAGACUUCUUUGUGAGAAUAAAUAUGCUAAUAAUGCAAACAUUAUAUCCUUCAAUGUAUUAAGAGCAAAUAAAAAGACACAUAGAUAGAAUUUUAAGUAUGUAACUAUAUUUGACUUUGUAACAUGGUACUUAAAAUAAUAAAAAUAUGAUUUUAAAAAUUUCGUAUUUUAUUUUAAAUGUAAUAAGUCAUGUUUCUAUUGCCUUUACUAGGCAUAGUCUAUAAAAUCUUAGAAAAUGGUUUCAAGAAUGUUUUUCAUAAAGACUUUACAAUAUCAUAAUUACCUUGAUAAAUCCUCUAAUAUAACAUAAAAUCAACUACUUCUAUAACAAUUGGUAUUUAUCUUUCUAACAUUGAAAGGUCCACCUAUACUUAAUCACCUACAAUAGUCUAAGUCUAUAGAACUUAUUCAAUAACUAUUGCUAAAUUUGCAAAACAAGCUAUUUUAUCUUACUUAAGAAUUAUACAAUUUUAUAUUACAUACAUCAAUAUUGGCAUUAAUAAUUAAAAAAAUAAGAAAAAUUAGAUACAAAUAAAAGUAAAUAUAUUUGAUAAUAUCUCAUAGAUCAAUUUCUUAGAAGCUUUAUAAAAGUGGAUUUGACUUUACAAGUAUUCAUAGGUGAUUGGUACAUUAUAAAUUUGGCCAAAAAAUUGGCCAUAUGUUAUAUGUGUUGAUCACUUCUUUUAAAAAUUAGCCACAUAUUGUACAUAUUGGCCACUUAUGGCAUAAGUUGGCCUUGUGGUGCAUAUAAGAAAAACUUAUCUUGCAAAUUAGACAUGUAUGAUAUCAAUUGGACAUGUAUUGGUUGACAUAUAAAAUAUUACUAUAUAAGUUCUUAAUUAGAUAGUAUAUAUAGAAAUAAGAGAGAGGCCUUCUUCACUCUUGUCAAUUUUUUUUUUUUUUGUUCUUAUCUUAUGUCAAAAAUCUCUAGUUUCUUUAUAUUUGGCAAUAAAUAUUUUGAUUUCUAUCUUAUAUCUAUCUUUAAUUUAUUUUUAUUUUUUAUUUUGAAUUUCACAAGAGUGUAUUAUUUUUUUAGAAUUUUUUUAUGAUUUAUGUCUGUCAAUUUGACAAGAAUGAUAAUUUUUUUAUUCUUCUUUUGUUUUAGACAUGAGUGGAUUAUAUUACUUCUUAUUAUUGUAUUUUUAUGGUUUCAAACCACUCACCUUUAAACUAAAAUUUUACAUCUUUUUAAUAUUAAUUUUUUUUUAAAAUAAAGUGGAUUACUCUUCUUUAUAAAAAAUAUUGAUUUAAUAUCAAAGGUUGUAGAUUACCGUCUUUUAAUUUAAUUUUUAGACAUAUUAAAGUUAUUUUUUAUAGAGAUAGAAGAAGAAAAAAAAUUAUAGAUGCUAUACUUGAUAGAAGUAAAAAUAGAUUUGUCACUAUCACAAAUCUUUAUAAAUUUUUCAAUACUCUUACAAAUAAAAAUCUUUACAAAUCUUUAAAAAUCUUUACAAAUUUGUCAAAAAAUUUACAUAUUAUUAAUAUCAAUUAUAGAAGUACUAUUCUUAUAUCUAUUGAAGAAGUUAAUAAUAAGAUCAAAUGUCUACAUUAAGAAGUUAAAUUGUUAAAAGAAGCAAGUAGAUCAACUUUAUAAAUAAAUCUAAAAAAUCUUAUUAAUAAAAGUAUGAAUAAAGUAAAGAUUAUUAUGCUAGAGAAUUUUUCUAAAGAAGAUGAAAAUUUUGAGGAUUUCUACAAUAAAUUAAGUUCUAUUUAAGAUUAUAUCUUAUCUAAUAUCUUAACAAACUUAUUCAAGUUAAUUUUGUAUAUAUACUUCUAUCAUAGAAUAUUCUCUCUUGAUUUAUAUAUUUGAUUGAAAAAUAUUUAUAACUUCUAUAUAAUCUAAAUUCAUUCAAAAAAUAAAUUAUGGUUACAGUUAGAAAUAGUCAUUAAGAAAGAAUAGCAAAAACAAACUCUCAUUUUGUCAAAAUUUUCAUAUUCCAUUUAAAAUCUCUAACAAGACUUCCUAUCUUAUUUGUAAAGAAAAAUGGCAGAUCAUUGUAAAUGUAUGUGGAUUAAUAAUGAUUCAACAAGAUUAUUAUAAAUAAUAGAUAUUCUCUAAUUUUUAUAUGAAAACUUUUUCAUCAAUUAAAUAAAACAAAGAUCUGUAAUAAAAUAGAUCUAUAAAAACCUUACAACUUCGUAUGCAUAAAAAAUAAAGAUGAAUAAAAUAUUAUAUUUUAAACUAAAUAUAGAAAUUUUAAAUAUAUUUUAUGUCUUUUCAAACAAAAAAUAUGCUAAUUAUUUUUAAACAUCUAAUAAAUAAUAUUUUUUGAGAGUUUUUAGAUGAUUUUUUUAUUUUUUUUUAUCUAAAUGAGAUUUUAAUCUACUCUAAGAGCAUCAAAGAAUAUGAAUUUUAUAUUUUUGUAUAUUCCAAAAACCUAGACAUAUAAGAAUGUAAUCUAAGAUUAAAAAUUAUAUAUUUUAUACAACUUAAGUUGAUUUUUUAGGAUAUAUUAUUUCAAAUGAUGGUCUUAUGAUGGAUUGUAGAAAUUUUACACUAUCCUGGAUUGAAAGAUUCUAAGAAUAAUAAGAAACUUUGAUUUUUUUUAGUAAUUAAUAAAUAUUAUUAAACCUUUAAAAAUUAAUCUUUGUCCAAUAAUUAUUUAUAUAAAUUAUAAUAACUUUAAAUGUUUUACAUCAAUAUAUAUUUUGAAUCAUUUUUAAGCAUUCUUGAUCAAAAAUUUGUAUCUAAUAUCAUCCAUUGGUCAAAAAAACAAUAAGAUUUAUUACAAGUUUUUUUUAAACGUUUUUAUCUGACAUUAAAAGAAAAAAAUGAGACUUUUGAUUAAUAACAAAUAAUUCUUUAAUAAAUAGAGAAAUUUAAUUUUUAUAUAAUAAAAUCAAAAUUAACUUUUGAUUUUAUAUUUUUUAAUCAAGUUCUAUGAAGCAUGUCCUUAAUAUUAUGCAAAUAUCCUUAAUAUUAUGUAAAUCUUCUUAUGCAUAAUAUUAGGAUAUUUUUUAAAAAAAAUUAUGAUAUUUUUAGAUUUAAAUUUUUAAAAAUCUUCUUUAUUUUAAAAAAUGCUUAUAAGUUCCAAAAGACAAAGCACAAUUAUGAAUAUUUUAGGCUUAUCAUAAUAUUUUAGCUACAAGAUAUUUUUUAAACAAAAAGACAUUAGAAUUAAUCUUAAGACAUUUUUGUUGGGAUCAAAUGUGAAAAGAAACUAAAAGCUUUUUAUAAUCAUGUGAUAUAUAAUGAAAAUCCAAAGCUCCUUGAUAUUGACUUCAUAGACUUUUUAAACCACUACCUAUAUAAGAAUAAGCAUGGUUAUAUAUUUUUAUAGAUUUUAUCACGCAUCUUUCAAUCUUAAGCUCUUAUAUUUUAUAUUUUUAAUAAUAGAUUUUUUUAUUGAAAUAAUAUAUUUUUUACUAAGUAAAAAAAAUAUUAUAAGUAAAAAAAUAAUUGGACUCUUUUUUAAUAAUAUUUUUUAUUAUCAUAGAUUAUCAAAGAAUAUUAUAUCAAAUAGAAGAAUUCAAUUUGUAUUUAGAUUUCGGAUAAAUCAUUUUAAGAUAAAAAAGAUUGCUAUAAAAUUCUUUUUAAUCUUCUAUUUUUAAACUAAUAGACAAACUAAAUAUGCAAAUCAAGUAUAAGAGUAGUAUUACCAUCAAUAUUAUCAAUUAUUAUCAAUUACUAUCAAGAUUAUUAAGCAAUUCUUUUUUUCAUCAAUAAAGUUUAUUUAUAAUAACACCAUAUAUUUUUCUAUUUAAUUAUCACUUUUUUAUGAUAAUUAUGGUUAUUAUCUAUGAUUUGAUACUUUUGAAUUUUUUAAAAUUAAUAAUCUUAUAACAUGAGUUUUGUCAAAUUAUUUAUUAAAGCUACAUAUAAUAAUAAAGGUACAAUUAGAUAAAACUUAAAAAUAACAAAAUAUUAAUGUAAAUAUUUAUUAUGUGUAACAACCUCAAUUCUAUAUUGACAAUAAAGAAUUGCUUACUUUAUUGUAAUAGCAAGACUAUUUUCUUGUAUUAUAAGUUGCAUUAUUGUAGACUUCAACUAUUUCAUAGUUUUAAACAAAUCAAUUUAGUUGCAUAUUGAUUUCAUCUAUUAGACUUUAUAAAGAUUCAUCUUGAAUUCUAUGUAUCUAUUCUUAAAUCAUAUAAGACAAUGGAUAUAUUGAAAAUAAGACAAAUACUAUCUCAUGUCAAGGAUAUGAAUUAAAAAUAAUAAAAACCUCAAUAUACUCUUAUGUUAUUCAAAAAUAAUAGAUAUGCAUUUAAAGUUAGUAUGAUAUUGAAAUUAGAAUGGUUUUUGCUUAAGACAAGAAGAUUAGAGGCCUUUGAAACAAAACUAUGAAUAAUAGAGGCAUUGACAAGAAUAAAGAAGGCUUUAAUCUUGCCUCUAUAUAUAUUAUCUAUUUAAAAAUUACAUAGUGAUGUUCUAUAGAACCUUCAAUAUGUAUCCAACUUGUAAUAUAUAUGUCUAACUUACAAGAUAUGUUUUUUAUAUGUGCAACCUUGUAUCAAAAAUCACCAAUAUAUACAACAAGUGGGCAACUUCUUGGUAAAUUUUUUAAUCUACCAAUCAACUAUAAACAUAUAUAAAGUCAAAUUUGUAUCUAUAAAAAUCCUAAAAAACUUCUCCACAAGAUGUUAACAAAUCUACCUACAUUAAUCUUAUAUAUAAUAUUUUUUAUUUAAAUAAUUAUGUAAGUAUACAAUACCUCCUUCUAUAAAAGUAGACAAUAAUCAAGAGUUAGAGGGAACAAAAGUCUUGGACUCAAGGUAGUGCAAAAAUAGGUUAAAACAUCUUUUAUAUUAGUAUAGAUAUGAUAUAAUUAAAUCGACAUAAGAGCCAUCUACAAAUCUUAUAAAUGCACUAGAGAAGGUCAAUACUUUUUAUGGACAACAUCUAUAAAAAUCAAGAUAAAAAAGCAAGAAUAUUUUUGCUAUAUAGCAAAACAUAUUCAAUGAAGAUUGUGUUCUAACUUCUCUCAUUGUUUAAGGUUUUUAUGUAUUUGUGGCAUUAAAAAGAUAAAGAAUCAACAACAACAAAAUUCAACUCAAGAGCUAUCUUUUGUAGAGCUAUUAAUGUUGUGUUAUGUUAAAGCAAACUUGACAAUGUAUUAUGCAUCCAGGUGUAGAAGAAAUUUUUUAUUUUUAAUCAACAAAAAAUAUAAUAAUCCUAAUAAGAUUCUAAAAAAAAAACUUUAAUUUAGCUUUAAAAAUUAUAGUCAAACCUUAAUCAAAUACUAAAGAAUUUUAAAGAAAAAUUUAAAAAUUAUUUUAAAAAUUCAUUAAAAAAAUAUCAAAAAAAAUAUAGUAAAUAUUUAAAAUUUUCUUUAAAAUAUUUUAAAUAAUUCAUCAAAAAAUCAGAAAGAAAUUAUCAAGAAAUUAAAAAAAAAAUUUAAAAAAUAUAUUUAAAAUAUUCUAAUAAAAUACUAAUAAAUCCUAAAAUCCAUAGUAAAUCCUAAUUAAAUUAUAGUAAAAUCUUUAAAAAAUCCUAAAGAUAUUGUAGAAACUCUAAUAAAAUUGUAACUAAAACCUAACCAAUUCCUAAUCAAUUCUAAGGUGGUCCUAAAACCUCAAAAAUAAUUGAUUAAAUCAUUGAUUUUUCUUUUAAAAAAACACAUAUUAUAAUUUAAUCAUUAAAAAUAAAAUAAAAAAUAAUUGAAAGGAGAUUCUAAUUUAUUAAUUUAAAAAAAUAUUCAUUAAUUACUUAGGUAUUAGCCAUCUUUCUUCUCCAAUAUUAAUGUUGAUCUUUUAGAAGUAAUUAUUCUUUCUUAAACUAUUUUUUUAUAUUCAAAAUUAUUAAAAUUAUUGAAAAUUAAGAUCACAACUUGUUUACAAAAAUUUGAUUCAAUUCAAUUGGAAAAUACUCAAGAUCAAAGAAUUCUUAUUGAUCAUUGAGAUCUAAAUUCUUACAUCUUAACUUAAUUGGAUUUUAAUAAUAUCUGAUAAACCGGAUAGANNNNNNNNNNNNNNNNNNNNNNNNNNNNNNNNNNNNNNNNNNNNNNNNNNNNNNNNNNNNNNNNNNNNNNNNNNNNNNNNNNNNNNNNNNNNNNNNNNNNNNNNNNNNNNNNNNNNNNNNNNNNNNNNNNNNNNNNNNNNNNNNNNNNNNNNNNNNNNNNNNNNNNNNNNNNNNNNNNNNNNNNNNNNNNNNNNNNNNNNNNNNNNNNNNNNNNNNNNNNNNNNNNNNNNNNNNNNNNNNNNNNNNNNNNNNNNNNNNNNNNNNNNNNNNNNNNNNNNNNNNNNNNNNNNNNNNNNNCUCAAAUCACUUAAAAUCAAUGCUUAACCAAACUAUAAAAAGAUUGAUGGCUAAUAUUAUUUUUUAAUUAAUAAAUUAAUCUUAAUUUUUUUGUAAAAAUGUAUUCUUGUGCCUUGGAAUCUGAUUUUGACACAUAUCUAUAACUGGUCCUCUUCAAGUAUCAACAUCUAAUUUUUUUUUCUAGAUAAUAAAAAAAAUAUUUAUUUUUACUUAAAUAUUUUUAAAGUAUUUAUUUUGAUAAUCUACUUUAUUUCGUCUUAUUUAUGGUCCUAUAAAAUAAGUAGAAGCUCAUUUUAUAAAAAGGCAUAAUUAAUAAUCAUUAAUUUUAUUACUUUUUUUUACUAUUAUCUAUAUUUUUAAGCUAAUUUAUUACUAUAUUUUAAAAGAAGAUCUUUUAUAAUAUAGUAUUUUUUUUCUUUCAUCCAAUAGUUGUGUUGCAAUACAAUAGUAAACAAAGAAUUAAGAAUUCAAGAAUCUUUGGUCUCUUUGUAUAUGACAAUAGUCAUUUUGUUUUUUAUCUUGUAUCUACCUUUAAUUUAUCUACUUUAUGUUUUUGAGCAUUUUAAGAGUAUAUUGCUUCUUGAAAGUUUUGUUAUAAUUCAUAUCUUUCAAACUUUGAGGAUUUAUUUUUUCAACCAUGCAAUCCAUCAAAAGUAGAUCUUAAAUAUCAAUAGUCUACUUUGUAUUCCAAUAUAAUCUUCAAAUAUAAAAUUUUGGCAUUUAAUAAGGACGUCUAAAUAAUAAUUUAUUACAAGAUUUUCUAAUGGAAACUAUACUACUUACUACAGCUAUAGUUCUUGUACACCAAAGUAUUGUUUAAUAUAGUAGACAAUAUAAAAAAUAAGAAGUAAGAUUUUAUUAAAGUAUUUUAAAGAUGAGAAAGAUUAUUUAUCAAAAAGAGAGAUCAAAAUAAAUAUUUUUAAUAAUUUUACAAGCCUUGCAACUUGUAGCCAUGAAUCUAAUAAGAUUUGAUUACUUCAAUUUAUUAUCACAAACAAGCUAUAGGUUCUUAUAUUCUAAAUUAAUAUGCAAUAAAAUUUAAGUAAAUUUAUAAAUAAUAUAAAAAAAAUAAAUAUAUAUUAAAUCUUUAAUAAUUAGAUAUAUUAUAAAAAAAUUUAAAAAAUAUAAAAAUUAAGAAAUUUGUAAGCUAAUAUAUGAUUUUUAAGUUCAUUGAUAUUAAUACAAAUAUUUCCAUGAGUUACUUCUAUAAUGUUAAAAUUAUGCUACAAUCCACUUAGAAUACAAUGGCAAGUUGAAAACUAUGCAUCUUCAACUACAACUCUCUUUUCCAUUACUAAUACUACUAUAACUAUUGUUGCAACCACUACUCUUAAGUUAUUUUGUAAAUAAAAAUUACAAUUAAUGAUCAUCCACAAUGUAAGAACAUUGUAUUUUUUAUCUAUUAUAUACACACUUUUCUAUCUUUGCACACUUUUCUAUUUUGCAUGUAAUCUUACUUGAACAGUUCUAUUGAAAUAUACACUUUUCUAUCUUUGCAUGUAAUCUUAUAUUUUUUAGUUUUUGUGAGAUACAACAAACAUGAAGUUUAUAUUCUUAUAUGUUCUUAGAAUAGAUUAAAAUAUCAUUUACAUAAAAAAAAAAAAAUUUAUGAAGAAACUCACAAGAAACAUCAUUUAUUAAAUGUUGAAAAGCAGCUAAUAUAUUUGUGAGUCCAAAAGACAAGAUAUUAUAUCUGAAAUAUUCCUAUCUUAUUCAAAAUAUAGUUUUUCAUUCAUUUCAUUUUGUGAUGUAUAUCAAAUCAUAUAUUUUUUAUAGAUCUAUUUUUGUAUAGAUUUUUGCUUAAUUGAAUUGAUCAAAAAAUUUUAAAAUUAAAAAUAUAAGAUAUAUAUUCUUAAUAGUGAUCUUAUUAAGUCUUUGAUAAUUCACACAUAUGUGCAAAGAUCUAUCUUUUUUUUCACAAAUAAGGUAAGAGCUCCUAUUAGAGAUUUAAAAUAGCAUAUGAAGUUCUUAGCUAAGUUCUUGUCAAUGUACUCUUUAAAAGCAACUAAAUUAUUUUGCAAUAAGCUAUAAAUUUGUUCAAAUGGUGGUUGAAUUUUUUCUUGAAGAUCAAUAAAAAAAUCAUAGAAACAAUGCUUUGGAAGAAUAUUUUGAUUUUUUUUUCAAAACAUCUUGAUAAUCUUGGUAUUGAUUUUGAAUGUCACUUGUAAUCUUUCUACCAUCAAAAAUGAGUGUGGCAUAUAUAAUAAAAGUUGUUCUUGCUUUUGCAGCAUGUAUAAAAGCUCUUACAUUUAUCAAUAAAAAUUAAGUUAUAUUUAACUUAUGGAUUUUUACUUGAUUAGUAGAAUCUUGAAUAAAGAAUAUUUCUUAUUUUUUGACAAAAUCUUUGUCUAUAAAAUAGGUUGAUGCUUCUAAAUCUAACAAGGCAAAGACUUUAUGAUUUUUUUUAUCUCAAAAAAAUAUAUAUUAUAAAACUAGGUAAAGAAUCUUAAAAAAAAAAUGGGAUUUUUAUCAAAUAUUACAUAAGAUUUUAGCUAUACAAUUUCUAUUAUAAUUGAAGAAAUUUUUUUUCCAAUACAUUGUCCUCUUUGGCAAUCAUAUUCCUCUUUUUUUUUUUUUUAUUAUAUUGCUUCUUUGGAUAAUUUUGAACAAUAUAUUGGAUUCUCCAAAAUAUAAGCAUAAACCUUUUUGAUGUCGUCAAAUCUUUUCUUGCUUAAUAAGAGGUUUGAACCAUAUUGUGUUAAUUUUCAUAAGCUUUGGCUUAGAUGAAUAAGCUUCUAAAAACUUAUAAGGCAUUGCCAUAACUUAAUUUUUACUUCUUCAACCAAAUUUUUAUUUUUUAUAUCUUUUAAAGAAUUGAUUAUUCCAUGCAAUGGCUUGAGCAAUAAAUUGCUCUAAUGAAUCUGCUCUUGACAUAGUCAACAAUAAAUCCAUAAAAUUAUCUUUUAAUCUAUAUUAAAAUUGAUUGAUAAGGAUUUUUUAUUUUAAUCUACAUUAUAGAUAAGAUUUUGGAAUUCAGCAGCAUAUAUGGUGGCUAAACAUGAUUCUUGUCAUAAAAAUAAAAAUUUUGUCUUUGCUAUCUUUUUUUGAUUAUUUUUUCCAAAUUUAGCUAUAAACACUUCUAGGAAUGAAUUCAAAUCAUAGAAUAGUUUUAAAUUUUUUUUAUCAAAGAUGUAAAUCAAAAAAGACCAUUCUCAAAUAAAAAUGUACUUAUGAAUAUAACUUGAAUAAAUCCAUUAGAGUAUUAGAAAGAAUGUAACCUUAGAUAAAGCUUUAUUUGUUAUAAAAACCUUCAAAAUUUUGAUCUUGUUCUAUCAAACUUUUCAUGCAUACUUAUCUGUGUCUUUCUUAUACUUGUAGUAAAAACAUUUCUAAGAUUCAAUUUUGAACUUUAUCUACUUAUUUUUCUUAAUUAUACAACUUCUUGGCAUAGACUUUAAACUUCAUUGUUGACUUCUUCUAUAGCCAUAGGAAUAGUACCUCUAUGAUUUAUAUUAGAAAUAUAUGAGAUUUUCAUCAUAAGUGUAUUGACAAGAUCAUGAAGAUUUGCAAUAGUUGUAAAUUCAUUUUCACUUCCAUUAAAAGUAGCGUUCAUAAUUUUUUCUUCCAUAAAUAAUUCAAAUAAAUUCAAAAAUAAAAUUAGAUGAUGCUAAUCUAAAAUAUCUAAUAUUAAAUAAUAUUUUUUAUAAAAAAAAAUAAUAUUCUCUCUUUAAGAUAAAAAUCACCAUUAAAAAACUAAAAAUUAAUUUAAAAGUAGAUAGUCUAUAAUAUUCAAUAGAAGUGAGAUAUUCCAUUCAUUUUUAGAACAAAACAAAAACAAUAAGUUAAUAUUCUUGUCAAACUGUCAAAGAUAUAAAUCUUAAAAAAUUUAAAAAUCAAUAAAUUCUUGUAUUAUUCAAAAAUAUUAAAAAAUCAUUCAAAGAUGAUAUAGUAUUAAAUUAGAAUGAUUAUAGCCAAAGAUAAGAAGAUUAUAAAGUCUUAAAUAAGAAUAAUACCUAAAAAAAUAUUGAUAAGACUAAAAAAGGCUUCAUUCUUGCUUCUAUAUAUACUAUUUAACUAAGAGCUAUAUGGCAACAUUCUAUAGGACUUAUUACACAUGUUUAACUUGCAAGAUACAUGUUUUGACUUAUAAGGCAAUUUUUCUAUAAAUAUGCUAUAUAAUUAGCUUAUAUCACAAGCUACCAAUAUAUGCAACAUGUAGCUAACUUUUUGACCAAGUUUUUAAUCUACCAAUCAACUACAUAUACAUAUAAAUUCAAAGCCACAUCUAUAAAACUUCUAAAAAGUUUUUCUAUAAUAUAUUAUCAAAUUAAUCUAUUAUUACCUACUUCUACAUAUUCAUAUUAUUUAAGAAAUUAUUGGAGUUAAUAGAUAUGUUUGCAAUAAAUGAUAUUAUAUAUUUGAAAUUUUUUUAUUGUACAAUACUUGGAUGCAAAAAUAAGAUUGCUUAAGAAAUUUUUAUAAGCAUUAUCAUGUAAUGUUUAUAAUAUUACAAUCAAGUAAUAUCAAAGAUAUUAUAUUUAAUAAAAAUAUAAUGGAAUAAAAAGAUUUAAAUAGAUCUUAUUUUUAUUUUAUUUUUUUCAAUUGAGAGAGUAGAAUUCCAUAAAUUAUUGAAGAUAACAUACUUUAUGAGCUAUUAAAUACAAUGGAUGGUGAAGAUACACACAAGAAUCUAAAGGUUUAUGUCCUUGAUAUUUCUAUUAUAUAUUAUCUCUUUUAAAUUAAAACCUAUAUUAUCAUUUGCUAGAAGAUAAAUAAGUUAGUAUAGAAUGUAGCUUUUGUCCGAAAUAUAUAUAUUGUAAUUAAAAAUUUUGGACCUCUAAAUAUGUAUAAAUUAUUAAAUUUAUAUAUUAAAUUUUAUUUAGCUAGAAUACAAAAAGAAAUCCACUCUAAUUAUAUUUUAAAAUAUAUUUGGAUAGAAAGUCACAUUUUUAUUAUUAAUUAUAAUAUAAGCUAAAAAUAUUUAAAUUAUAUUUAGUAAUAAUAAGAAAAAUAUAAGUUCAAUCCUUAAUUUGAAGUGAUAAAGGCAAUUUUGUGUAAUUUUUUUGAUGAUUGUAAGAUUCCUCUCAACUUAGAUAGUACUAUAAUCUUUAUACAUUUAUAACUCAUAUGCACAUUCUAAAACCUUCUUUUAUUGCAUAAUGAAAUUCUUUCAAAAAUUGAUUUUAUAUUUUAUAAUAUCAUUUAUAUAUUUUAAUUAAUAUAACUAAAAUAUAUUUUAUUUUACAAAGUUCAUAUACUUUGAAUUUUAGACAAGGAGUCUAAGUAUUCUAAUACAUUAUAUUUGAAAGAAAUUCUUCAUAUUUUACAUGAUUGAUUCAAUCUAAUUUUAAGUUUGAAAAAUCAAUAAUUUCAUCUUUUUAAAUAAAGAAGAAUAACUAAUCUUAUUGAUUUUUUGCAAUCAAACAAUCCUACCAUGCCAUUGGAAAUUUCUUAAUGGCUUUGAAGUUUAGAAGUCAAAGCAUAUUUAUGAAAUCUUUAGAGAGUCCAUUUAUUAUAAAAGAUGUUAAGAAAAAAAAAGAAAGAAAGGCAAAAAAAAAAAAUGCCAAGAAAGAUGCAAAAGCAAAAAAGAAAGAAGAUGAAUUAAAGAAGAAGGGUAUAAGAGAUGAAGCCAAGAUGACAAUAGAAGAGAAACAAGCUACUAAAAAAAUUUGAAAGUAAGAAUAAGUUACCAAAGCAAUAAAAAAUGAUAAACAAGUUACCAAUUCAACAAAAGAGAUGAAGAAAGAAAAAUAAUUUCUAAAGAUUAAGCAAGUAGAUGAAGAAAUUUUGAAAGUGAUCUUAUUCUUUCUAUGUGAUAGGUUGUCAAGGAAGCUAUAAAGAAGAUUCUAUACAAGAAGAUCAUGGAAGAGGAACCAACAAUCAGAAGUACAAAACUUCAUGAACUAAUUUUUGAAGAAAUAGUCAAAGACAAACCAAGAUGUGGUCUUUAGGCUAAAAUAAUUAGAAUUAAAAACCACCAAUUAUACUAUAUAUUUAGUAAUACUGAGUAUAUUAUUAGUACAUAGAGUAUGUGAUAGAUUAGUUGUUGCUCAUCCAAAUUCCUUUGCUCUUAUCAAGCUCAAUUAUUGAGAUGUGCAUGAAAUAAUGACCUUCAAAUGGCUACAUUGUAGAAUCCAUGACAAAACUAACUUGUUAUGUAUUUGCAAAUAAAUAAAUAAAUAUAUAUAUAUAUAUAUGUAUAUAUAUAUAUAUUUAUUUAUUUAUUUAUAUAUAUAUAUAUAUAUAAAUAUAUAUAUAUAUAUAUAUAAAUAUAUAUAUAUAUAUAUAUGAGCAUAGGAAAGGAAUAAACCAAUUGCUUAAAGGAAGUGGAAUAACUAAAAAGAUAGAAUAAGAACCAAAGAUACUACAAAAAAGUAGAUUGUAGCAUGCAUCUUAAGUUCAUGACAACUUCUAGCAUUGGCAAAAAUAGUGAUGGAAUGCAAUGGAUGGCAAUUGCAAAAAUUGUGGUGGCGUUAGCAACCUUUUUUAUAAAAAUAAGAUCCAACUCUAUUGAUAAUAAAUUUGUAGAAAAAUAAAUUACUAUAUAAGUUUAUAAGAAGUUAGAAUGUUAAUUUUUGACCUUCCAUAUUGAAACUUUGAUUAGUUUUUAAAAUAUUUUUAAUAAAUAUUUUUAAUAAAUAUUUUUUAUUUAAUAAAUUCAAAGUUAUUAUAAAUAAAUAUUGAUUUUUCAUGAAAUGGUAGUAUCUACUAAAUAAAUCUAUAGUUAUAUAUAUAUAUAUAUAUAUAUAUAUAUAUAUAUAUAGUACAUUUAAAUAUAAAAAAACUCAUAUAAUAAUAUUUAUCUUGAACUUUUGAUCAUGUAUUAAUAAUAAUAUAAUUAUCAUAAGAAAUUAAGAUAUAUAUAUAUAUUUGGAUAUUACAUCAUAAUAUUUAAAUAUUUCUUAUAAUAUUAUCUUUAUGAAUUAUUUUAAAAUUUUAUUUUUCAAUAAAUUCCAAAUAAUUAUACCUUUCAUUAUGUGUAAAUUUUAACCCUUUUAUCAGCCUUUACAUAUUAUUACCUAUGUGCAAAUUUGCCUAUUAUACCAAUUCCAUUUAAAACACUACCAAAAAGUAAAAUAAAUAAAUACAUUGUGAAUGUUUCACCUCAAUAACUAAAAAAAUGAGUUACAUCUAGACACCUAAUAGAAUUUAAAUUUAUUUAAUUCAAACUUUCUACUAUAGUAAGGUUCCAACUUCAUGGUUUUUGACAGUGAAUCCUGGUUAAUACCAAACUGUGCAAUGGCCAAGAUUCACAAAUCGUGUUCGACAUGAUUUAAAUAGAAAAAAUCAAUAAACUAAACUUUUUCUCAAGGCAUUGGCGUAAAUCACUAAUCUCAGACUGUUCUUUGUCAAUGCGAGAGUGAGUCGGCGUUAUGACUCAGUUUUCGGUUCCUCCGUCAGUUUUAGGCUCACCAUUUGCAUGAGAUGGUUCGAUCCGGGACUCGACAGCACUAGAAUCAGCAGAAGAGGUGGGUUCAUCUGCUGCAUCGUCGUCGAUGGCUAUGGCUUCAGUCAGCUGGAGCUCAUCGAGGUCGAUCUUCAUGACUGGUUUCUCCUCACUUAAGGGGGCUUUGCCCAGCACCUCCAGAAGACCCUCCAAUGCAGCCGUGGGAUUGCG